AUCAGAAAUUCCAACCCCUCCACAAAUAAUACACCUUCCCUGGAAAGAUCCAUAGUUGCACUCAUCGCAAACCCGAACAAGUGUGCAAGGACGCACAUAAGAGUCACAAAUUACACACUUACCGUCGCAUUUUUCACCGUCGCAUUUUUCACACAACCUUCCAAUAGCUAUUCCAGGUUGCUUUUGGCACAUAAUCAGGUCAGGAUGAUGCUUCGCCAUGUUCCUGCAACAACAGGGUAAAAUAAGCUUCUGUCCAGAGGAUCAAAUAGGGCCAAAUCACAGUAAACAGAAUCCAAAUGAUAAAAACUCGAAUCCCCAAAUUAACUAGAACCCUAGCCUAGCUGGCUGGCAGCCGACUUAGCUUUCGAGUGCCCCUCAGAUGCUCCUGCAUCCAAUGAUAACGCUAAUGCACAUUCAAAAGUUUCGAGACUAACCCAAUUUGCAAAUCUGCAUACCUUUUUAACAAUUUCAUGCCAAAUUGCAGGGUGUUUAUAUUCCCAAAUCAUGCAACUUAUCGAUCAGCUACGAGUAUUUGCAAACUCUUUUACAACUAUGCACAAAAAUAAUAAAAGUGGUUUACUUUUGUCACACCAAUUCACCAAUGCAAAGCAGUUCAUUGCCCCAUAACUCAAAUACCAAAAAAAACCCAAAAAAUCCAAAUUUUUUAAUUUCUAAUUACUCUUUCAAGUUCUGGGUGCUUCCGAUGUUUGCCUAAUUCCCAUCACAGAAAACAAAUUCUGGGAAUUAAACAUGCUGUGUAAAUAGAUGAAACGAUUAAUAAAUUGAACAGAACAGGAACCCUAAAACAGGUAAUCGAAUGCGCAUUCGGCUAGAAAUUUGAAUUUUAGAUGGAAAUAAUAAAAAUACAGCAGCAGUUUUCUACAUAUGCGAAAACAAGAGAGGAAGAACGAGAAGCGAAGAGAGCAAACCUUACCGAAGAUAGCUGGAGAGGACUCGGAUGAAGGGAUGCUACUGUAAGAGGGGAUCGGCGCGGUUGGGGGAGUUGGGCUCGGCUGACUGAGAGAGAAUCGGAUAGGGGUAAUGUAUUUUUUUUUUUUCUUUCCUUUUUGUCUGCUUUUUAAGUUUCAAUUGAAAAUUGUCGCUUAGUAUUAUAGUUUAAUAGUAUUCAACAUCAGUUGUAAGUAGAGAUUUCUUAUGUUUUGCAAAAAACGAAUUUAAACCACAUUAUUACUAAUUUGAUGCGAGACUUAGCCCACUUCUCUAUCGAUAAUAUCAUUUGUUUUUAAAAAAAUCAUCCAACUGUUGUAAACAUUCCUAGUUUAAGUAUGAUUGUGUAAAUCCUAGAUAAGAUUUGAUUCUAGUUAUCCUUUCCUAUUACAACUUGUAUUACUUGGAGGAGAAGAAAUAUCUUCUCUCCCUUUACUACUAUAAAUAAAGGCACAAUGUAGGAGGGAUAACAACACACACAUUCCCCUACAAUUCUACAAACACACAUCUCUCUCCUCUCUCUCUCUGCCGCCGGCCCUAGUCCCUUUGUCAGAUAAAAUAGACCACAACACGUUAUCAGCACGCUCCUACCGCUGCGCUUAGGAAUCUGACGUUGGAAAUUUUUUCUGCAUCAAACCAGUUCAUCCAUAUCAUCACGCAAUCAGGUUCUUUCCAAACAACGGCUUUUAACUCGAUAUUUUGCAAGCCCUGAUAGCAUGAACAUUCACCAUGAUGCAUGACCCAACUUUACGUUUUACGUAUUUUAGAUUCUACGUAAAUUGCGUAUGCUUCAUAAUCAAAAUUACUACAAUUAUGUGAAUUUGAUAUUUGUCAUGAAUUGAAUCCUACAUCUGUACAUGCAUUGAAACUAUUAUUUGCAUAUGCAUCAACGUAAAUAUGUGAUUCAUUAAAAUUAUACAUGUAAUAUAUUUGAAUUGAAAAAAAAAAAAUUUGCGAUUGGGGAAUUAGGGUUCUAGUCGAACCCGUGCCUUUGCACCAUGCAAGGCCGCAAGCCACCAGGCCCGCAGCCUGCGAUGGCCCAACCCAAACCGAGAACCCAGGCCGCAAGCCUUGAACCGAAACGGUGCGUUUGAAGCACCUUGUCCCGACCUACGGCCUGAAGCCUAGGUCCUCGCCGUCAAUUUUCCGACACAACACGACCUGCAGUCGUGCAAACUUGGACACCACCCAUCGUUUUCACCAACGAUUUCUAGAAAUUCCAGAAGAAUUUCAUGGGUCUUCACUCGAAUUCAAUUGAAUUCAUUCGGUUUUUUUUUUUCUUCCAUCGACGUCGAGAUCUCUUCUUCGUCGACAAACACCUGGUUCUUCGACGAACCAUGGCUUGCUCGACCCUGGACACACCGCCUGCCAUGGCGCCGUCCACGAACUCCGGCUUUCUUCUUCGGCAUCGCACACCCAGCACGGCUGGGAUUUCUUUUGGGUCUCUUUCCCGAACCCUACUCGGGCUCUGUCUCUCGGCCCGUGUAACAAAAGAAAAAAACAAUUUUUUUUGCUGGGCUCGCUUGCAGCGGCCCAGCCCACAAAGGAAACAAUUUGUUUUUUUUUUAUUUUUCCUGGGCUCGCCUGCAGCGGCCCAUACCGAAAAAAAGAGAAAUUUUUUUAGGGCUGCACACAGCAGCCCAUUCCUUUCUCACCCCGUGGGCCUGCAGCCUACACCCGGGGGUACUCGGCCUAUAUUUUUAGGCCCCGAGAUUUUAUUAUUUAAUUUUUUUUAAAUAAUAUGGGUUUUUAUAUUUUCACCCACACUUUAAUUUGGCCCCGAAGACCAAAAAUAAAUUAAUUCACUUAUCAUUAUACAAUAUUUCUGCAUAUAUUCUUUGCAUAUUUGUUUGCAUAUAUAUUUGUGUUUGCCUGCAGGAAUAUAUGAACCUGAAGUUCAUAAUUACUUUGAAACCCGAAGUUUCUUAUACACAUGCCUUGUUAGAAAACCCGAAGUUUUCACUUAAACAUAUCACCCAUGAAAACCCGAAGUUUUUCAUGCAAAAUUCAACCAAUACAUGUCUAUUAGAACCUGUAUGUUCUACUCCUAUGUGAAUGGAUUGAUUUUUCUCCAUUACACUAACCACAUCUUGUCCAUCUAAUUUUGUGAUAGGAACAUGUCGAACUUGAACAAACUCGACUUCACCGCUUUGGAGGUUUCUGGAAGGAACUACCUCAAGUGGGUUCAAGAUGUGAAGCUCCACCUCACUGCAAAGAACUUGCGUCCUGCUAUUGAAGAAGCAACAGAUAAACCUGUUGGCGAGGCUGAAAAAGCCACUGCUAUGAUCUUCAUCCGAAGACAUAUCCAUGACGCCCUACAAACUGAGUACCUUGCUGAGGAGGAUCCACGUGCAUUAUGGGUCGCUUUGGCUGAUCGUUUCGAUCACCAAAAGGACAUAUUCUUGCCUGAAGCAAGACACGACUGGCAGCAUUUGCGCUUCCAAGACUUUAAGUCUGUGAAUGAAUAUAAUUCUGAAGUUUGUCGAAUCCGAUCACUUCUCAAGUUUUGCAAUGAAACUUUGACUGAAGAGGAUCUCCUGGAGAAGACCUACUCGACCUUCUCUGCUUCUAAUAUUGUCCUGCAGCAACAAUAUAGAGCUCAGAAGUUCACUAAGUUCUCGGAUUUGAUCUCUGUUUUACUUCUUGCUGAAAAGCAGAACCAGCUGUUGAUGAAGAAUCAUCAAGCUCGACCUACUGGGGCUACUGCUGUGCCUGAAGCACAUUAUAGCACUAAUCAGCACCCAAAACGCCAAAAGAGGCGUGGUAAGGGUGGCCAGAAGCCAUCCCACCAAGGUCAACAGAGCCAAGGCCCAUCCAAGGGAGGAAACAAAGCCCAGAAGCGCCCAAACCUCGCUCCUAAGGCCCCGAACUUCAAGAAUAAAGGGCAAAGCACCUGCCACAAUGAAUGACGAUAUGUGCUAUCGUUGUGGUUCCAAGGACCAUUGGUCCCGUAUUUGCCGUGCUCCCAAGAAGGUUGUGGAUGCAUAUCAUUCUCGUCGUACAAAGUUUGAAUCAAACUUCCUGCAAGUGGACGAACCGGAGACUACAAAGAUGGAGGUUUCUGAUUUUCAGGAGGAUACCACUCCUAUGGAAGAUUAGAAUCUUAGACAUAGACUUAUUUUUCAGUUAAAAUAAGACAAUUGGGGCCGAAUUCCACCUUGUGGCCGAACCCCACCUUGUUUUUUGGUUGAUUUUGAACAAUUUUCCUUUAUGUUUUGGAUUAUUAGUUGGCGAUUUAUUUUGGAUAUUAAGUUUUUAAUCCUUGAAUAAAUGAAAUUAUUUUGAAUUGAUACUUGUUUUUAUAAACUUUUAUACAUGUGACCGAUUCAAAUUAAUUUUUCAUUCUAGGUAUGACUAGUGGGAAAGUUAGUUGUCUGGCAGAUAGUGCAACCACGCAUACUGUUUUGCGUGAACGCAUCUAUUUCACUAACUUCGUACCUAAGAAUGCACCUCUGACAACCCUCUCAGGCCCAUCCAACCUGAUCGAAGGAUACGGUAAGGCACGUAUAAUGUUGUCCAAUGGUACAAUCUUGACCAUUGCUGAGGCACUCUAUUCUCCACGUUCCGGAAGAACGUUACUCAGUUUCAAGGACAUUAGAGAUAAAAAUUACCACGCUGAAACCCACGUAGAAAACAGAGUUGAAUUUCUGUGCGUAACUUCCUACGAAUAUGGCUAGAAGCGUAUUCUAGAGAAGAUGGAGCGUAACCCGAGUGGUCUGUAUACUACGACCAUACGCCCCAUAGAAUGCCACUCUGUGGCCGGCCCUACCACAGGGACCGCGCACGAAAUUACACUUUGGCAUGAUCGUUUGGGACAUCCUGGACGAAUAGCGAUGCGCCGUAUCCUCAAAACUUCACACGGGCAUCCACUAACCCGAAGCUUAGGUUCGAUCCAUGAAAUUGCAUGUCAAACAUGUUCUAUGGGAAAGCUUAUUACUAAGCCUUCUUAUGACAAGAUUCGUUCGAAUCCUCCCAUUUUUCUACAACGGAUUCAGGGGGACAUUUGUGGACCGAUUCAACCUUCAACCCUGCGGACCAUUUAGAUAUUUUAUGGUUUUGGUUGACGCUUCUACACGUUGGUCACACGUGUGCUUGUUGUCCACAAGGAACGCUGCAUUCUCCAAACUGUUGGCUCAGGUUAUCAAGCUCAGGGCUCACCACCCUGAUUAUCCGAUCAAAUCUAUUCGAUUGGAUAAUGCUGGAGCAUUCACAUCUAAAACUUUUGAUGACUAUUGCAUGUCGGUUGGGGUUGAAGUUGAACAUCAUGUACCCCAUGUUCACACCCAGAACGGCCUGGCAGAGGCUUUCAUUAAGCGUUUACAAAUGAUUGCUCGAUCGUUGGUCAUACGUACCAAGUUCCCGAUCGCUGCUUGGGGCAAUGCAAUAUUGCACGCAGCAAAGUUGGUCCGCCUGAGGCCUGUUGCGACACAACCAUUUAGUGCCAUUCAGUUGGUCACCGGAUGCGAACCCGACAUAUCGCAUCUGCGCGUUUUUGGUUGUGCGGUCUAUGUGCCGAUCUCGCCGCCCUUACGUACAAAAAUGGGGCCUCAGCGAAGGAUGGGAAUCUAUGUCGGAUAUGAUUCUCCUUCGAUUAUUCGUUACUUAGAACCUUUGACAGGCGAUCUGUUUACCGCUCGUUUCGCGGAUUGUCACUUCUAUGAGACAGUCUUCCCGUCGUUAGGGGGAGAUAAGAACGUCAACGUUCCUAAUGAACGACGCGAAUUAUCGUGGACGACUCCCACUUUGUCUCAUUUAGAUCCCCGCACCGCUCAGUCUGAAGCUGAAGUGCAGCGCAUAUUAGAUCUCCAGAGCAUAGCUCAGAGCAUGCCAGAUGCUUUCACCGAUCUAGCGCGCGUGACAAGAUCACAUAUUCCAGCUGCGAAUACGCCUGCAAAGAUGGAUGUACCAAAUGUACGACGGACUACCCUCCUGGAAGCCCGGGACGCCAAUUCUGGUGAUCCACGUACAUUAGCGGCUAGCCAAUCAUCUGCCCCUAUACAAAAGCGUGGCAGACCCCUUGGUUCAAAGGAUUCACACCCCCGGAAGAGGAAAAUCACGGCACAAGGUCCUGAAGAGCCUACCGUGAAUCCGACUAUCGCUUACUCAUUUUACCCAACUCAUGAGGAAAUUCUAGAUUAUGGAAGCGUCCUUGAAGAGACGAAUCCUCCUCCCGAGAAUCGUGAGAUUUCGGUCUAUUAUGCUAGCUUAGAUGAUGUGUGGCGUAGAAAUGAGAUGAUUGUCGACGAUGCAUUAGCAUUUGCAGUAGCUACUGAGAUCAUGUUGAGCGAUGACAUUGAACCGCGUUCCGUUGAUGAAUGUCGACAUAGAGCUGAUUGGUCAAACUGGAAACAAGCAAUCCAAGUCGAACUUGAUUCACUUGCGAAACGUAAGGUGUUUGGACCUGUAGUUCCUACUCCUCCACAUGUGAAGCCCGUUGGCUACAAGUGGGUUUUCGUUCGGAAGCGUAAUGAGAAGAACGAAAUUGUGCGUUACAAAGCUCGUCUUGUAGCACAAGGUUUCUCACAACGCCCCGGGAUUGACUAUGACGAAACUUACUCACCCGUUAUAGAUGUGAUUACUUUUCGAUACCUUAUCAGUUUGGUAGUUUCCGAAAAACUGGACAUGCAGCUGAUGGACGUAGUAACCGCGUAUCUCUAUGGGGAUCUUGAUACGGAAAUUUAUAUGAAAGUUCCCGAAGGACUUACAUUGACUGGUUCAAAUAUUUCCAAACCCCGGAACACGCUCUCAAUUCGGCUGAGGCGUUCACUAUACGGUUUGAAACAAUCCGGAAGAAUGUGGUAUAACCGUUUAAGUGAGUAUUUGACUAGUCAGGGAUAUGUGAAUAACGAACUAUGCCCUUGUGUGUUCAUUAAGAAGUCACAUUCCGGAUUUGCGAUUGUUGCAGUAUAUGUCGAUGACAUGAAUGACAUCGGAAUCUCAUCUCGCUCCUGAAGAGCUUUGAAAAAUUGAGAUGAAAGAUCUAGAAGACUCGACUGCUUCGGUCUCGAGAUAGGCAUUGUCAGUAAUCCUAGAAUGAAUCGAUGAGCAAAGCCCAGAAGUCUUCCUUUUAAGAGGUCUUCGAACUAGGCGUUUUUGAUCGUCCUAGUCAUGCAAAGCGAGAUCCCUUUUUGGAUGAAAGAUUUGGAGCCUGAAGUUCCGAUAAGCGCUUUACCUAAUUAGCUCAAGCACUUCACUCGACCAUCUCCUUCGCUGUUAAUUUUUGGCAAAGAUACAGCAAUGCACCAACACGCAGACAUUGGACGUGAAAGACAUCUUCCGUACCUUAAGGUAAAAGAUCUACGGGCUCUUAUUCUGGGCUUAUCCCUACGAAUCCUCGAGUGAUGCCGCACACCUAUGCUCAUCGGGUUGAUUCUCGCCUUGUUGGUUAUUAUGCCGACGCUGGAUACUUAUCUGAUCUGCACAAGGCGCGUUCUCAAACGGGUUAUGUCUUUACCGUUGGAGGCACCGCAAUAUCUUGGAGGUCAACUAAACAGACCUUAGUUGCCACUUCGUCUAACCAUGCUAAAAUUCUCGCCUUACAUGAAGCAACUCGGGAAUGCUUUUGGUUGAGAGCAGUAGUGGGCCAUAUUCGAAGCUCCUGUGAUCUUCAUCCCGCCGUUAAUGCCCCGACGACGAUUUUUGAAGACAACGCAGCUUGCAUCGAACAUCUCAAUAAGGGUUACAUCAAAGGAGACAACAUCAAGCAUAUUGCGCCGAAGUUCUUCUUUACACAUCAACAACAAGAGCAUCAGAAGAUUGAAGUCACGCAAAUCCGAUCACAAGACAAUCUGGCCGACCUCUUCACCAAAUCACUACCGAAGGCGACGUUUCAGAAGCUUGUUCAUGGAAUUGGUAUGCGUAAACUUUCUAAGUUGUAACUUUGCUAUUUCUCUUUGGAAUUAUGUCAAACUCAGGGGGAGUAUCUUCUAGAUACUUGCUUGAUCUUAAUGUACUCUUUUUCCCUACGAUUAGGAGCAUUUUUCCCACUAGGUUUUUGCUACCUAACUAGGUUUUAACGAGGCACCCACCUUGGGCUGGUCAUAUCCCUGAUGACGUCCUGUAGACGUUUCUUUUGACUUUACAUUUCUCACGCAUUUUUCCUUAGACUAUGGAUUUUGUCCCUACUUGGGUUUUUGCCAUAGCCUUAGGGUUUUUUAGUGAGACUCACUACUUAUGCAAGUUCCUACCUUAUUGAGAAUAAGCGUUGUUCCUUGGAAUCAGUGCUGACGAGUCGACUUCCUCAACUUCUGCAUGAUGCUGAAUCUACCUUGAGUAUUUACCCACUCAAGGGGGAGUGUUGUAAACAUUCCUAGUUUAAGUAUGAUUGUGUAAAUCCUAGAUAAGAUUUGAUUCUAGUUAUCCUUUCCUAUUACAACUUGUAUUACUUGGAGGAGAAGAAAUAUCUUCUCUCCCUUUACUACUAUAAAUAAAGGCACAAUGUAGGAGGGAUAACAACACACACAUUCCCCUACAAUUCUACAAACACACAUCUCUCUCCUCUCUCUCUCUGCCGCCGGCCCUAGUCCCUUUGUCAGAUAAAAUAGACCACAACACCAACAAGAUUUUUUUUUUACUUAUUAAUUUUAUGUUGUAAAAGGGAAUGAUCUAAUAUAAAAAUAUUAGGACAAAAGACAAUUUAUUACCUUCAUGUUUAGUGGUUUUCAACAUUUAGUACAUCAAUUGUUUUUCAUCCCAGAGUCAUACCUAAAGUGUAAAUUUUGGAACAGUCUCAUACAGCCGUUAGUCAAACUGUUAGUUCACCCGUUAAGUAAUGACGUGGCGUCCUGAUUGGGCGCAAUGUGUCAUUAAAAAAUAUUAAAAAUUUAUUUAAAUAAAAAUAAAAUUUAAAAAAAAUUUAAAAAAAAUUUAAAUUAAAAUAAUAUUAAAAUAAUAAUAAAAUAUUUAUUUUUUCUUCUUCUCUUCUUCUUCUUCUUCUUCUUCUUCUUCUUCUUCUUCUUCUUCUUCUUCUUCUGGGUUCGGUUUCUCUCCUUUUCUUUUCUUCUUCCUCCUCCUUCUCCUUCUUCUUCCUUCUCCUUCCUCCUCCUUCUCCUCCUUCUUCUUCUCCUUCUUCUUCUUCCUCAAUAAUAUUAUAAAAAAAAAAAAAAAAAAACCCACCUGCAAAGAAGGAGAAAGAGGAGGAAGAGAAGAAAAAAAAAUAAUACCCGAACCCAGAAGAAGGAGGAAGAAGAAGGAGGAGGAGGAGCAGAAGAAGAAGAAAGAAAGGGAAAAAAAAUCGAAUCCAGAAGGAGGAAGAAGAAGAAGAAGAAGGAAGAAGGAGGAGGAGGAGAAAGGAGGAGGAGGAGAAGAAGAAGAAGGAGAAGAAAGAAAAGAAAAGAAAAACAACCGAACCCAGAAGAAGAAGAGGAAGAAGAAGGAAGAAGAAGAGGAAGAAGAAGGAAGAAGAAGAAGGAGGAGAAGGAAAAAAAAAACAACCGAACCCAGAAAAGAAGAGGAAGAAGAAGGAAGAAGAAGGAGAAGAAGAAGGAGGAGGAAGGAGAAGGAAGAAGAAGGAGAAGGAGGAGGAAGAAGAAGAAAAAAAAAAGAAGGGAAACCGAACCCAGAAGAAGAAGAAGAAAAAGAAGAAGAAGAAGAAGAAGAGAAGAAGAAAUUUUUUUUUUUUUUAUUAUUUUAAUAUUAUUUUUAUUUAAAUAAAUUUUUAAUAUUUUUUAAUGAUACGUGGCGCCCAAUCAGGGCACCACGUCAUCACUUAACGUGAGAACUAACAGUUUGACUAACGGAUGUAUGAGACUAUCCCAAAAUUUACACUUUAGAUAUGACUCUGGGAUGAAAAAAAAUUGAUGUACUAAAUGUUGAAAACCACUAAACAUGAGGGUAGUAAACUGUCUUUUGUCCAUAAUAUUAAAUUUAUUCACAGAAAACAUAAAAGAAUGGAAUAAUAGGUUUUUGAGUCAUACUAGCUUAUUCAUGACUAUAAAGUCAACUCAAGCAAAGGUUUUAGAGAGAACAUGACACAAUAUAGAAAUUCAUGUAAGCUAAAUCAAGGCUAGAGAGAAGAAAAAAAGUGAGAAUUAUAUUUAUACUCCUAUUAUUUGAAAUAAUGAAAGCCUACAAACUAAAUAUGUAGUAUUAGUUUCUAGUUAAAUCUUGAUUAUUCUUGUAUAUCUCUUUGAGUGUUUGGGCUUUGUUUUAGGAGUGUGUAAAACUUUGACAAACAAUAGGCGUAAUGUCAGGCAUAACUGUAUCCACAAAGCUUAUUCGCAUAUUCCUUUUGCACAUUAUAUGUGGGGGCGAAUAGAGUAUGAAAGACAGCAUAUUUAUAUGUGCCUUGAAACAAUCUUUCAUCCUUCAUCACAACCAUAAAAUAAAUAAAUCCAACAAAACUUGUGUAGCACGCAAAGAAUUCCAUACACGCUUUAAAUGUUUAUUGUAGACAUUGUUUGAUCAUUUAUGAAAGAUAGGAUACAUGACACAAAGAAUUCCAUACAUGGUUUAAAUGUUUGAUAGUCUUCAGCAAACACAGAAAUGCUUUCAGAAGAAUCCAGCACUCCAGUCCUCUGCAACUGUGCAUCUAGAGACUUCUGGGCCAAGUAACUCUACAAAAUAAAGAAGCGGUAAACAAUUUAAUGUCAAAUCUCAGUUUACUCAUGCUAUGGCAUAUGGUAUAUCAUAUUACCACAAAUUAUUAAGAUCAAUCACACUAGGUAAUUUUCUUAGAAACCUGAGUAACAUUUGUUCUAUCAAGGCAACCAAUGCAGUUUGAUCUGACAAUCCCUUUCUGCUCCUCCAGUAUAUUGCCUUUCGCAUCUACGGGGAAGUAUCUGCUCAGCUGGAACAGUUUUGAUUAAAAACAGUAUUACAUAUAGCCAGCAUACAUGGAUUUUGGCAUAUUUAAUUCAAUCAGAUACUACACUUUCAUUACCCUUGCUUUUCAAAUUGCUCUGAGAUCUGCUCGUAUAGAACCUUUAGGUUUUCAAAGUUUGAGUUACCACAUACUUGAUGGAAGUCAAAUGAAACGUAUCUACAACAAAAACACUAGCAAGUUGAGAACAAAAUCUCAUUUCUGACAUUGUUCCCAAUGCCAACCAAUAGAACUGACUUCAUCAUAGGCAACCUCGAAAACAAAAAAGGAAUCUACUUGCAGUGGGACAAUGAUUCAGUUGGGAGCCAACAUAGAUAUGCAAAUUGUCACCUCACAUUUGAUAGAUUUUGCAUUUCAGCAGAAAAUGCCGUACUUAGUUGACCUUCAUCGCCAUGCUACAAAUAACAAUAAACGGAAAAUUAUAACAACGGGAAAUUUAUGAAACAACAUAUACUUUGCAUACAAUUAAAAAAACAGUAAAACUUGUGUAGCACAAGCAGUCAGCUGGGAAGAAUUAUAGACAUCAUUGCUUAUUUAGCAAAUCCCAGAGCUACAAAAAGGUGAGCAUGUCGUACAAACACAAUUUGAAGGAAAAAAAAUUGCAAACUUUUCAGCUUAACGUAAAGGUGAACCAGUGUGCAAGGAUUGUUAAAUUAAAAUUAAAAUGUAAAAGAAAAGAAACCCAUACUUUUUUCUUUUUUUUUCUUGAAAACUAAGAAACCCAUACUUUAUCAGUUGGGUCUACUGCCAUUGUCUCUCCAUAUCUUUGCGAAAGAUAAAAAAAAUGGCGCUCCAUAACAUUUGACUGUAAGUGGAUGGGAAAAUUCAGAACACACAACUCAAUCAAGGGAACUGUACCAUGAAGCCAAGAAAAGAGUAAAAGGGGAUGGAACUGCCAUUGUCUCUCAUGAGUAAUAAUUCUAAGUUGUGGUUUAUAGCUCAAGUCAACAAUUUACUCCCAAAGAAGCGGAAUUGAACCUCGAAUCGAGAAGUACAGCCCCGGCGUUGAUUGGACUGUUUUCAACAGAGCCAUGAAGUACGCCUCAUCCUUUUUCUGCAGAAACACAUCACAAAUUCAAACUAUCCCAAGUCACACUGAAAUUCGCUAACGAAUCAAAACCCUUACCUCCUGAGCAGUUGAAUUCUUCAUACCCUCGUUGCAGGACAGAAACCUCAUCGAGGUCACUCGAUAAACAGGGAAGCCGAGAUUAGUCCCAACUUCCGUCCACGAAGUUAUUACAAGAACAUAAUUUCCUGCACCAAACACAUCAAUUUCCUGGAAAUAUAGCCAUUCAAUCCACAGAUUUAUACAAUACAACGGAAAAAAGUUACACAUUUUGGUUCGAAAUACUCCAAAGCGAGUAAAAGCAAGCAAUUGACUUACUUGUAAGCAAUCUGAUCGUUCCCGCCACUCCGUAUAUCGUCGAGGUUUUGUUUGGGGCUGCCCGGAUGAGGGGUUUUGGUUUGGGGCUGCCCAUUCUUGGUAAGUAAACAGACUUUGCAUCCUCAUUCUUGGUAAGUAAACAGACGUUCAAAAGUGGUUACCAUAUUAUUCUUCCACACGACAGUGUACAACUAACUUGAGGUAGCAUUUUCAUUGAAUAAAAGACUAUUUUUUUAAACAAUUAUAUUCCACGUCUAAACGGAGGGGAUAAUCUACUCUAAGGGAGGGUGCUGAAAGAACUUUUUGAUACAACAAUAUUCUACAUUUAAGCGGAUGGGGUAAUCUACUAAGGGGUAGCUGGGUUAGGCCGUACAAUGAAUCAACUAUUUACUAAGUAUUAAACUUAACAUAAAUAUAAUACAUCAUUACUAUCAAUGUGCGUCAAACUUGAGACGUCUCACUAAUUUGAACACUAAUUGGACUAACUUGAACUUGAUCUUGAUCUCAUUAUGUUUCAGUCCCUGUCAUUAAACUAGCCACUAGUGUGUGUGAUGAUGGGACAAAAUAAUAAAAUGGGGUUGCAGAUAGUUGAUUUCCGGUAGCAGUGAAGUUGAAGGGUAGGCGACAAAUUUGCCUUGACUUUUAGUGACGAGAGAAUUUGGUUGGCAUGAGAAAAUAAAGUGGGGGUGCAGCCUCCAAGUGAUUGCUGGUAGCAGUGAAGUUGAAGGGUAGGCGACAAAUUUGCCUUGACUUUUAGUGAUGAGAGAAUUUGGUUGGCAUGAGAAACGUUCAGCAAACAAGCUGUUGCGCUGCUUGAAUAGAGAAAAUUGGUUCAUGACGUGUUGCUGCAAGUGAUAAUCCUUUAGCAGAUGUUGGUGUUGCCAAUUGGCAUUUUUUACCAGCCAAUGAUGCUUGUGGUGGCUACUACGUGGCAUGGGAGUUAAAAAAUUGGUUCUUAUCGGGUAAGAUUUCUCUCCGGAUCUGUGUGCUUCAAAUUCUGAGGACCAAGUUAUCUUGGCCGUUUGAUUCAAAUCCUCCGGUCAGACAUCUUUCUUUCCCUUCCUCUUCUUCUUGGAAAUCAAAGACGGAGAAGAACUCUUGGGUCUCACUCACUGAGAAUUCAUCGACGCAAUAAAGAGAUUCGUUGUUCCUGAUCCUACUUCACCUUAAUUGUUAUUUGAACAAGUAAAAAUUAUGUCUUGGUCCGAGUGGGGAUAGCAUUUCUCUUCUGCAUGUUCAUGGAGUUUUUGAAAAAUCCAAACAUCUCAGAGAUAGAGAGGUAGGAAAUUAUGGAACAAACCGCACUCCUUCGUAUACGUCAGGAGUCCAUUGAUGAGAAGGGGUUAGGGAAAGCUUGAACCCAAUUCCUACGGUGAUGAAUAUAAGCGCAAUUGAAAUUCCUGGGGACCUCCAACGCCGAUUAGGAGGAAACCACCCUACCGCUGCGACUCCGAACAAACGGAUAAAGACUGGCCUGCUGGUGGCCGAUAUGAUCCUCGCCUACUUGUCGAUGGCGGCGAGAGGAAGAAGGGCAUGCUGGUCACGAGGGCAAGGGUUACGAGUUCUACACCAAUUGCGAGCAGAAAGGAUCCUUAGCCGAGGAUCCAGAGAUGAUCUUACCCCUUCUUAUCACCUAAAUAACUCAACAAGUCUCUUAAUUUUAUAUACACGAAGUGGAAAAUCCAAGGAGGUUGAACUUGUGUCAUGACCAACAAUAAAACGAUUUGUUAAUUAUUCAUCCCCAUAAGUGUAUUCAUGUGCUUCCGUUUCUCGUACACGUCAGAAUGUUUUGUUGAAAUUUAAAUAUACAAAAGCUUAUUAUAUUAACACCCCACGUAUUGUUGAAUAAACCUCACUACUUAAUACACCCUACAUUUGCUUUUUUAAUUAAAAAUUAUCUUAAUACACCCACAUACUUCCCCAUAAUACCCUCAUACCCCACAUUCUCAACAUACACUUCACAUUUUCUCCAUACACCCCACAUUUUUCAAAUCUUAUAACACUCAUUUUUAAAUGUCUUAUGAUUUUGUAUUUCGUUCUACUCUGUUGUUUUUCGUUCAUUUUUAAACGGCUUAGUUGGCUCAUUGAACUGUGACUCAAGUUUACUGCUUCACCAUCCAAAUCAUGCUCUAACGUCUUAGAAAUUAAACGUCUUAUGAUUUUAUUUUUCGUUCUACUCUGUUGUUCAGGCAAGGGCUUGCCUGUGUAGCCUAUUAAUUUUAGAUGGUGAUUUUUAUACAUGUGAACUUUUAAGUUGUGCUUUGAUGUAGUAUCUUACGAAGCAAUAUUUGGCUCGUGUAAUGAAACCAAAAGCUCUUACCAAUUUGUAGGCAUUUUUCGUAUGAAAAAUUAUGGUUUGCUAACAAAUUUUAUAGCUAUUGGAUAUCUGUGUUCAUCCUAUUUGAAGUAUUCAAGCUUCCUUAAUGCUCUGUACUUUCUAUUUUGUUAGAUAAACCUUGUUGAAAAUAACCAUAAAAAAAAUGAAGAGUUGGAGGAGUUUUGAUAAUUGAUGAAGAUAAAUAAUAAAAGUGAUUUGUGGUGUAUUUAUAAAUUUUUUAUUUUUUUAAAACCUAAUAAGAUCAAAAUUGUUAUUGCAUAGUAGGAUAUAUAAAUCAUUUAGUAUUAAAAUUUAAUAUAGGGUGCAUUCAAUAUUUUUUGAGGUGCUAAUAUAAAAAGAGAGAUGAUAUAGAUAUACCCACCCACCAACACUAUUUCUCCACCCACUUUUUAAUGAUACUUUUAAUGACAACUCUAACCUUUUGCAAAAUGACUUAUAAGGCCAUCUUUAACUAUUUUAUUAUUUUAUUAUUUUAUUUUUGUAUUAAAUUCUAAAAAUAGAAGGAACAAAAACAUGAGCCUAACAAGUUGAAACCACCGCACACGGCACCAACCAAGUUGAAUCCACCGUUUUCCUCAUCUCUUAUGUCAAGUCCUUCCCAUCCAUUCGAAAUCUUCAUCAAACACCAUAGACCCAUUAUAAUUACCUUAAGACACCUUACUCUUUUUCUCUCAUACCCAUUUAUAGUUUUGGCAAUCCGUGUGGAACUGUGCUCAGUUCAUCUAAUUGACGUGGUUUUGAUACCCCUAUUCUACGAUUAGUCCUCUACUUGAGUUGUAAUUGGAGAGAGCGACUACGAGGUUGACCGAGGAUGUUGCUCAUCCUCAUAGUCUUGAUUAAAUUAGAGACAUGGUUGGCUGACUGUGAGAAGGAGGUUGCUUGCCGUCAAGUGGGUGAACUUGUGGCGGUGGCUAAUUUUCUUUGUAAGGGAUAGUUUAGGAAUAUCAGUGGGUGGGAAAAGAGUGUUUUUCAUUUUUACCUUUUGAGUGGGGUGGGAAAAUAAGAUGGGGUGGGAAAAUAGGAUUGUAGGGUGAGUCUAGUAACUCUCUAUAAAAAGCCAUUUACUAAAGCAAAAUGAGAAAAACACUGUUCUAAGCAACAAUGUUUGGACAUUUUUGCCCUUAUUUUAAGGGAGUUUUAACAAAACGCUCCCGGUACUGUUCACUUUUAACGAAAAAUCACAUUUUUACUUUUAACUGUCACUAUUCAUUAUACCUUUAAAAAUGGUUUUUCGUUCAAAGUGAAGUUUUUUGAACUUUUCGUUAGUUUUCCUUUAUUUUAAUGAUCCUGUGUUCCCACUUUUUGCGCUUUUACAAUGAAAUUCCCAAAUUGCCCUACAGGCAGACGUGUAUAUGGAAAAAGGUUUUCCACGCAUGGCAUGCUAGGGAGAUUUGCAGCACCGCUUCAUUCCUCUCCUCUGCACCGUUUCCUUCCUCUUCCACUUGGAAUUGAUACAGAAUACCGCUCAACCAAAUUUUCUCACCAUUUCGUUCCGUACUUCUCCACCUCUUCAUUCGUGCUGCACUAUGAAUCGAAACAAAAAACCCAAUCAAUUUCAGUUAACUCAAAUCCUUAAAACCCAAAUUUCUCCAGAUCGUUGGAAUCAAUUUGCUUUUGUUGUUGCUAAUCUACAGGUAAAGCUUAAAUUUACAUACAAUUUUUUAUUUUUCUUGAUUGGAGUUUGAAAAGAAUUAGUUGUUCUUGGAAAUAAUUACAGAAAAUUGGAAAAGGGAAAUGGGAAAGCGAGGAAAUGCAUGCAAAUGGGUUUGAGAAAAUGCCUUUUCUUUGGCAUUCGCUUUUGGCUUUCAUCCUUUAUGUGUAUGUCUUCACUGGAUGAGCUUUGUUUUCCUUUUUUGAUUUUGUUGAUUUUUUUUUCUUUUCCCCAUUUGGGCUAAAUAGUUCUCAAACUUCUGAGCGAUUAUCGAUAAUCGUUGUUGUUGUGAAUAAAUUUAGUCAAUGACUUACUAAAACACCAAUUCUCCAAAGCCAGAGCACUAUUAGAUGAGGCUUUGCGAAAAAAAAAAAUUGGGAUAGACAGGGCUCACAAGGAAAUUUGAGCUUUUGUCAGAUAAAAUAUCUUUUUUUUUUUAAUUCAUGUUAAUUUGCAGUAAUUUAUUUUAUUUAAUUUGGUUUUUAAUUCUUUUGUUGUUAUUUUAUGAUUAUGGGGGUUUUGUUUUCAGACUCGAACGCCGUUGUCUUCCCAAGUCCUCUGUAAUCAAGGUAAGCAAUUUGAAAAUUUUGGCGGAUUGAAAUCAGAGUUUCAAUUUACACAUUUGUUUAGAUUUGACUUUAUUGAAGCCAAUUUAUGCAUAUUUUCCAUCAGCUUUUUCUUAUGUUACUUUGGAUAGGUCCUGUUGUCCAGAUUUUGAGCAUCUUCUUUUGGGAGUGAUUAAUAGCUGCUGUGACAGGUUAGUUUUUUACUCUUUCUAAAAAAAAAUUAUGCAUAGUAUUUAAAUCUUGUAGCAUUUUAAAAUUCUUGCUUCUGUGGUUGUGAUAUGAUAUAUGUAUUUGCUUUAUUUAAUUACAAUUUAGGUGUGAUGAAAAAUUUAAAAUUUAACUUCAUUAUUUUCUUCCCAGCUAUCAAUCUAUAGUUUGGCAUUUACAAUUUUUUUGCACAUGAUGCGAAAAAGAACUAUAAAUAGCAAAAGAAAUCAGGGAAUACAAGAAGAUCAUACUUCUGACACUGCAAAUGGAAUAGAAAUGUUUAAUGAAAAUGUUUGCCAUGCUGAUGGUGCACAUACGUUGCCUGAAAGCUCUUCCAAACAAAAAAGAAAGAAGAAAGUAGGUGCAUUUUAACUCACAAUGUUCCAAUGGCCAAAAGGCGCUGAAUCGGGUCGAAAGCAAGAAUGGACGCCGUGGAUGGGAUGUCAUAGUGAACUGCAACUCGCAGGUCCAAGUCUUCCGCCGUCAAACUCCCGUGUGGCAAAUUAUGCUGAAACCAACAAUUUCCAAUACAAAAUCCCAAUUAAAAAAAAAUGGGUAAGUAUCAGUCCAAAUGUCGAUACCAAGAGGCUCCAAAUUCAUACAAUCCAAGUAUUCGAGCAUAAAAUACACUGAAAUGAAUAAAAAAAAUCAUAAAAAAUAAUCCAUUGAUGCAAUAUCCAAUUUUCCAGGAUACUAACAAGAUAAAGCAUCGGAAUUUAAUCCACCCCAACAAAAAAGAAAUGGAAUUUUAACCAAAAAACGCAAAUUACGAAGCUAAACUGAAAAAUUCGAAAAAAAUAUAACAGAAAAAAGUGGCGGCGAUCGAAUGCUUGGGAAUACGAUUUUACCUGAGAGUUGUUUAUGGCUUUCUGCAAAAGCCGCUUGGCGAAGAUCGCGAAUUCGAAUUUGCAGCUGAAAUCUUUGGCUUUCUGCAAAAGCAGGUGGAUUGGACUAGCGGAGGAGACUUUCUAUGUUUGUUUCAGUGAUCAUACCGAUGGCGUUUCUACUCUUAGCGCGUUUACUAAUCCGUAAUCAAAUUGAGAGGAAUUGAAUUGAGAAGGAAUUUGAUUAAAGAGGAAUUGAAAUAAGGUGGAAUCAGAAUCAGAUUCCUGUUGAAGUUGUUUACUAAAACUGUUUGAAAUCGGAGUAGGAAUUAUGUUGAGUUCAUAUAAAAUGUUUACUAAUUCACUUCAAUCGGAAUGAAAACUAAGUUUAUUAUUAUAUUACCCUUACAUAAAUAAAUUAUUUUCAUACUCUUUCUUUAUCAUGCCAAAUUCUUUUUUCAUCUCUUCUCUCUAUUUCUUCCAGAACCUCCUUCCUUCUCAUCCCCAAUUAUUUUUUUUAUUUUCCUUUCUCCAUCUUCUUCCCCGUCAUCCUUGCUCCCUGAUAAUCUUCUUACCAUCCCCAAAAGAUGGCGAGCAUGACGGGUUGGGUUGGCGCUCGAUGUCGGAGCGAACCUCCUUCCUUCCCCAAUUGUCGCCAAUGACAACCUGUUCUUCACCAGUUACAUCUUCGAAACCCAUCCUGAACCAGUCAGCUUGAGCCCCGUCAUCGCCGGUGGACGGGAUUGAGCAGGAGUCGGCCUCUGCUGAAAGGCAUCGGCCUCUGCUGAAAGGCAUAAGGACAGGGUUAGUUUGGGUAGAAAAGUCGAAUUCCUGAUGGAGGCUUCUCCACGGAAUCCAAAUACCACCUCUAUGGAGGGGAUUUGGAGAUUCAGGAGUUCAAUUCCUGAUUUUGUGUGAGCUCUACCUUGUUUCCGAUUACUGAAGUGUUUGGUAAACGGGUGAAUGCCUCGAAAAAAGUGCAAAUCCGUUUCUUCAUAUUCCAUUCCGGUUAUGUAAACAUGGCCUUAAGAGUUGUAAAAAUUUCGAAUCAGUCAAUGACAACAAUUGAAAUUAAAUGAAAAUAAAUAAAUAAAAAGGUGCUUAGCCGUUGUUUAUGGGGGUUGUAUCCUCUGCGGUCGCGAUUAUUUCACAUUCGGUACGCAGUCAGCAAUCCCUUCGUUGGAAGCAAAGGCAAAACGACAACGAAGGCAAAACGGAGUCGUUUUGGGCAUGUUUGCUUGCAUUUUGCAUCAUUUGGUUGACUCAAAGUCAUUACAAAUGUAGUAGAUGAAAGUAGACAUCACCAAAAGCGUCACUGAAAGCAAAAGAAAGCAUUAGCAAUAUCUUCUUUUUUUUCUUUUCAUACAAGCAACUUUUUAUUAUGAAUUGUAAUUUAAUUUGAUCUGCAAGAAAGCACUCGACUGAGUACAAGAGCACAUUUAUUUUUUACUCAAAGUGGUUAUGUUUAUGUCUACAAAACAAAACUCAUCAUGUAUCAACAACUUAUUCUCAUUAGAGCAAAUUUUAUAAAGGAAAUCGAACUGAACCAAAUCGCUCGCUUGGUUAGAAUCACCAAUUGAUGGGUUAUUGUGCCCACUUCUAGAGCUAACUUUGAAGUAGGGGUGGUAGUGGGUCGUGUCGAGGUACUAAUCAUUUGGGACAUUAUUCGACUCCUAAAUAAGAAAUCACUCCUUAUCCUACAAUUUUAUUUUUAGCAUAUAUACAUAAAUAACUUUUAAAAACAAGAUAUUUAUUAUUGACAUUUUAAAAAUCUAAUUAUACAUUUUACAAAUUUUGUCUGGAAAGAUAAAUACUCUUACGAAAAGUGUAGAAUUAAAUUUUAAAGUGCCAAUAAUAGAUUUCAAAAAGAAAAUAAGAAGAAAAAGUUUCUAAUGCACAUUCAAAAAAGACUUUUUAACUAAAAUGAUUUUUGAGAUUGACAUAACUUUUCAUUUUGGUAUUUGAGAUUUGAAAUCGAUAAAAGCAAUGAGUUUGUCCACCAUCAAUCAUUUUAGUCAUUUUGUGAAAAUUCUGUUAAAUAAGGACUAAAAUGAUAAAAAUACUCUCAAGUUAAUGAACAAUUGGUCAAAAUGAUUUGACAAGAAUUGAGAGUAUUUUUGUCAUGUUAUCUUUAUUUAAUGGAGAUUUUUUAUAGAAUGACCAAAAUGAUAGAAGGUGGACAAUCUCAGGACCACUUAUGUUGUAUGUGUGUCCAUGGAGAAAUUGUCUUUGUAAAACAGUUCAGGAUUUCCUCUUGUAAUGUAACUUAUGUGAAUCCAGACUAUUGAUUCGAAUUUUUCGGAUUUGCGUAUUCAUCUUGUCAUACUUUUUGCAUUCUGGUUUGUUUUUACUUUGUUUCUUUGUGAAUAUUUAGUACACUGCUCGUGCACCUCAUUAGUUGUUGUGAUUUUGAUUUGUAAUUUGCAGAAACGGGCAACUUCAGUAAUUAACUUCCAUAUUCUUUUCUUUUGGCCUUAAAAAUUUACAGCUUCGGAUUAUUACCAGAUUGAUGAUCUAUUGACAGCUGAGGAGCAGGCUAUUAGGUUGCGAGUAAGAGAGUGUACGGAGAAAGACGUUGCUCCAAUUAUGGCAGAGGUAUCCCUUUUACUCUAACCAUUUCUGCAUUUCAUAUCAAGGCUAUAAAAGUCGAUGUUAAAUUUUUUAAGGGUAAAUAUCAAUUUACUACUGUUUCGUGGUUUUCAACAUUUAGUACAUCAAUUUUUUUUCGUUCCAGAGUCAUACCUAAAAUGUAAAUUUUGGGACAAUCUCAUACAUCCGUUAGUCAAACUGUUAAGUCUCCCGUUAAGUGAUGACGUAGCGUCCAUGUGGACAAUGAUUGGAUGCCACAUGUCAUUAAGAUGUCCACGUGGAUUUUUCUUUCUUUCUUCUCUUCAGAGGUGACGUGGAUUUUUUUUUUAUCUCUCCUUCUUCUUCUUCUUCUUUUCUUCUCUUCCUUUCUCCCUAGAAUCCCCAUUUCGUUCUUCACCAUCGCCACCUUCAGUUCCAUCGACACAUACCCACGCCGGUGAGAGGGAUGGGAAAUUACUCGGUGGAGGAGGUGAUCGGUGAUGUGGGCAGAGAUGACGUGGGUGACGGAGGUGCGGAUGACGAGCUAGGAGAAAAAACCCCAAAUGUCGGCCUCCCUCUUCUAUCCUCCCUCGAUUACAAGCUUUUUGUAUCGACCUAGGUCAAAAACUUCAUAACCAUGGGGAUUUUCGCAGCUCUAAAGUCGGUCAAAGCCACAAACCCAUUUUCAAACAAUUAAAGGUAUGGAAAUGGAGCAUCAUUCCAAUCCAUUUUCAAAGAAUUAAAGGUCUGGAAAUGGAGGCGUACCAUGUGGGUCCCCACGUCGCAGAUAUGGAACUCGUACUUGGAAGGCCGCCUGAAAGCCCUGGUGGUGCUGUAGAUUUGGGGGGAAUUGGGAACUGGGUUUUCAUUUUUGAGCGAGAUGAAGCGAGUUGAGGAGGACAGAUGAGGCUGGGUUUUUGGAGAAGGAGAAAAGGCUUGGUGGUAGGGGUGGGUAUCAGGGAAAGGGGAAUGGUGUCGGUGGGUGAGGGGUGGAGGCAGUGGAGGCGAUGGGGUUGGGUUUUGAGAUGAGGAAGAUGACGGUUUGGAGCAGGAGUUGGUGAUGGCGAAGAAAGGAGAACGAACUGGGAAUUCAGGAUUAGGCCACGACGAUGAUGGGUUGUCUUCGGAUUCGGAGUUGGUGACGGUGGAAGACGCCGAAUCGAUGACCGGUAGCGGUGCUGCUGCUAGUACCUUUGCAACUUCUUGAGACGCAGUUGGAGCACUGGGUGCGGAGGAAGAGAAGGGAGGGUGAGAGGGUGGGCACAGGUGGGAUUUGGGGGAAGAAGGGAUUUUUUUUUUUUAAUUAAUUAAUUAUUUUAUUUUUUUAUAAAUAAUUUAUUUUUAAUUUCCACGUGAGGCGUCCAGUCAUUGUCUACAUGGACGCCACGUCAUCAGUUAAUGGCAAACUUAACAAUUUAACUAAUGGAUGUAUGAAACAGUCCCAAAUUUAAGACUUGAGGUAUGACUCUGGGAUGAAAAUUAAAUGUUGAAAACCACGAAACUUUAGGGUAGUAAACAGAGAUUAACCUAUUAUUUAAUAUACAUUCAUAAACAAUGAGAUUGAUCUGCGAACUUGUUGUUUCAGUACUGGGAGAAGGCAGAGUUUCCAUUUCAAAUUAUUCCAAAGCUUGGUGCAUUGCGCAUUGCUGGUGGGACAAUCAAGGUGCUUAAUACAUAUCUUAAUAAGUUAUUUUUAACUCUUGUGUUUGAUAAUUUGUUGGAUGGGUUGGUUAUUUCGCUUUUGGCCUUCUUUCUAUCAGGGUUAUGGGUGUCCGGUCUUUCUAUUACGGCAAAUGCUUUUGCUACAGCUGAAAUUGCUAGAAUUGAUGCAAGCUGUUCUACUUUCUUCUUGGUUCAUUCCUCACUAGCAAUGCUUACUAUUGGUUAGAAUUUGGAUAAUUUUAUUUUUGACCUUUUGUUUUAUAAAUAACCAAACCUUCACUGAAAAAUGAUGUUGUUGACAAGUCAAGACUUAUAACUAGUGUAACAUUUCUGGACUGUCAAGAAUAGCAUUAUGUGGGUCGGAGGCUCAAAAGAAGUAAUAUCAAUAGAAUUUUACGGCUUAAAUUUUCAUGUAUUGCAUAAUUGAGAAUAUAAUACAUACAAUCUUUAUUCUCCAAGGUAAACCAAAAAAGGACGUAAGAAUUAUCCUUCCUAAUAAAGGACUUUAAUAUUUACACAAUAUUUACAUUCCUAUUCUAAAACCAACUCACGCAACACUCCCCCUCAAGUUGGAGCAUAGAUGUCACACAUGCCCAACUUGACAAGUGAGUUACCAAAAACUCUACUACACACGGCAUGAGUGAGGAUAUCGGCAAGCUGCUCUUCUGAGUUCACAAAUGGUAUUGACACAAUCUUCUUCUCAAGCUUUUCCUUAAUGAAAUGUCGAUCAACCUCCACAUGCUUCGUUCUGUCAUGUUGUACCGGGUUCUUUGCAAUUUCUCGUGCAGACUUAUUGUCACAAUACAACGUUAUAGCCUCAUUUGUUUUGAAACCAAGACCCCAAAGCAACUUACGCAACCAAAGAACUUCACACACUCCAUGUGCCAUACCUCUGAAUUCAGCCUUUGCAGAAGACCUAGACACCACAUUCUGUUUCUUACUCCUCCAAGUAACCAAAUUUCCACCAACGAAAGUAAAAUAUCCAGAAGUAGAACGCAUAUCAGUCACAUCACCAACCUAAUCAGCAUCAGUGAACCCCUCAAUUUUUAGAUGACCAGAAUUUCUAUACAAGAUUCCUUUCCCUGGGGCUGACUUUAAAUACGCCAAGAUACGCAUAACAGCAGCCAUAUGAUCCACACUUGGUGAGUGCAUAAAUUGACUCACCACACUCACUGCAUAGGCUAUAUUUGAACGGAUAUGAGCUAAAUAAAGUAGUCUUCCCACCAGCCUCUGAUAUCUGCCUUUAUCCACUGGUUCUUGAUUUGAAUAAAUCCCUAAGUGAUGUUUCUCCACAAUAGGCGUAUCCACAGGUUUACACCCAAGCAUAUCUGUUUCCCUUAACAAAUCAAGAACAUACUUCCUUUGAGACAAGAAAAUACCUUUGGACGAACGAGCAACCUCAACUCUCAGAAAAUACUUUUAAGUCACCCAAACUCUUCAUCUCGAACUCGGCCGCAAGGUUCUUCUCCAAUUUGACAAUCUCAUCUGAAUCAUCCCCUAUUAUUAUCAUAUCAUCCAUAUAAAUAAUUAAGGCUGUUACUUUACCAAUCCUCCGUUUCACAAAUAGAGUAUGAUUAGAAUGACUCUGAUAAUACCCAUUCUUUCUCAUGGUCUGAGUGAAUCUUCCAAACCAUGCACGAGGUGACUGCUUUAGCCCAUAAAGAGACUUCCGCAAUCGGCACACUCCCUUUUUUCCUUUAUUAUCAUAUCCUGGAGGAAAAUCCAUGUACACUUCCUCCUCCAAAUGUCCAUGAAGAAAUGCAUUUUUUACAUCAAACUGUUUCAAUGGCCAAUUCAAAUUCGCAGCUAAUGAGAUUAGAACUCGUACCGUGUUCAUCUUAGCUACUGGAGAAAAAGUUUCCUAGUAAUCAACACCAUACGUUUGAGUAUAUCCUUUUGCUACCAACCGCGCCUUAUACCUGUCGAGUGAACCAUCAGCUUUGUAUUUAAUUGUAAAAACCCAUCGGCACCCAACUGGCUUCUUCCUUUUCGGCAACUCCACUACUUCCCAUGUAUUAUUUUUCUGUAGUGCCUUCAUCUCUUCAUCCAUUGCUUCCACCCAUUCUCGACUCUUCAAAGCUUCCUCUACUCGAGUUGGCACUUGAAUUGACUCCAUAUUGUUCACCCAAGCUUGACGUUCAGGUGAAAGGUUUUCACACGACACAUAGUUUGCUAUUGGAUACUUUCCUUCUCCUUCUGGAGAACCUGUCAGGAGGUACACCAUGAUUUUGCCUUGGUGGCAGUUUAUAUGUACUUAUAACAUCAUUAGUUACAUGAGUAUCACUAGCACUUACCUCAGGGAUAUUCAGAGAAGACGUAUUGGACGAUGGCACGAUUGAGCUAGAGAGAGGGGGGAAGCUUCGGUACAAAUAUCAUGGUUGCUAGCUUCAGCAGAUGCUUGUGGUAAGGCUGGCUCAGCCUCGGUAGUAGGUGGCUGAACACCAUCUAAAACACAUAGGUUCUCGGUACAAGUUUCCUCGGCGGCAAUCAGUGGUUGCCCAUCUAUAUCAUCUUCGGCAGGAAGCAGCCGAGACCCUGCUUCCUCCCUUGGUACGGUAUUGUCAUCUUGUGAUUCCUCCCUUGGCACGGUAUUGUCAUCUCCCCCUGAAGGAUGCACGUCUUGGACAUCCAACCACCCAAACACACCAUCAAGAUCACAAAUAACACUCUCCCCCUUGUGAUCGGAAGGUGGGAUUACGGGACUAUAAAAAUACUUGGAUUCAAAGAAGGUCACAUCUAUGGUGACGUACAUGUGGCGGGUCUCAAGGUGAUAGCAUUUAUAACCUUUCUGUUGGGAUGCAAAGCAAAGAAAAACACACCGAAGAGCACAAGGAUCCAAUUUACUACGAUGAAUCUUAUGGAUAUGAACAUAAGCAACGCAACCAAACACUCGAGGAGUAAGAGUGUUGGUAGAGACAACCAGAACAUGUUCUGUCAGAACUUGGAGUGGAGUACGAAAUUCUACAACUCGAGAUGGCAUGUGAUUGAUGACAUACACGGCAUACGUAACGGCGUCCGGCCAAAAACUCUUAGGUAUGGAUGCGCCAAUAAGCAAUGCACGAGCAAUUUCCAAAAUAUGACGGUUCUUCCUUUCAGCCACCCCAUUUUGUUGCGGGGUAUAAGGACAAGUGGUCUCAUGGAGAAUUCCUUGAUCUCGGAAAAAAGAAGAAAGCUCAGAGUUAACAUAUUCACCCCCGUUAUCAGAACGAAGAACCUGAAUAACGGAGGAAUAUUGUGUAGCCACCAUCUGAGAGAAAGACCGAAUAAUCAUACUAACAUCACUUUUAUGUUUCAACAGUUAAACCCAUGUCAUACGAGUGCAAUCAUCAACAAAUGUAAUAAACCGUUUAAUUCCCGAAGUAGUACUAAUGGGGGAAGGCCCCACACAUCAGAGUGUACUAGCGCAAAUGGAGAAGAUGUUCUAUUCAUACUCGGAGGGAAUGAAGCACGAUGACUUUUGGCUAGAAUACAUACUUCACAUUUCAAUUUUGAGUCUUCAAUACCACUGAACAAAUCAGGUAAUAUAUGUUUCAAAUAACCAAACGAUGCAUGCCCCAAACGACGAUGCAAUAACAAUACCUUCUGUAGAUUACUAUUACGUGAUACACGAACCAAAUUAGCUCUUCCAGGAACCAUGUCAUCCACAUAAUAUAGCCCCUCUCUUAGUGCCACGCCCAAUGAUCUCAUUUAUCUGAAUAUCCUGAAGCAAGCAAAAUGAAGGAUACAUUAAUACAACACAAUCCAAUUGUUCAGUGACUUGAGGUACAGACAAUAAGUGAUGGGACAAUGAUGGAACCAAUAAACAAUUAUGUAAGGGGAGAGAGGGUGUAAGAGACACUGUUCCCGCUCCAACAACAACAGUAGUAGAACCAUUGGCAGUUGCCACAUACUUUCUAUGAGGACGUGUCAUAGAUUGAAAUAAAGUUUUAUCAUACGUCAUAUGAUCUAUUGCACCGGAAUCCAAAAUCCAACCUAUAUUCACCAUUGUAAUAACUCACGAGACACUAAUACACGGCAAUCACAACACCACACCAAUUAUAGAACCACACGCUGCAAGGAAAAACAAGCAGCAGCACUUCAAAGACAAAAAAUUAUUGGACUGCACGCUGCAAUUCAAGCAGCAGCCAAUCCCUUUUUUUAUUAUCAACACUAGCAGCAAAUCCUUCUCGGCACAUCACAAUACACAUACGUACACAGCACACAAUCAGGUUUGCUGCAGGGAUGCAGCGACACCAACUGAAGACCUGCUGUGAGUGUUGUUCCCCUUCGAUAGUAAUAAUACAGCACACACGGGCAGCAGUCUUGGCUUGCUGCAGGAUGCGGCAGAGACCAGACUUGCCGGAUAUUUUUGUAUUUUUUUUUCCUGGUUUCACUGUAGCAGCGGUACGGUGGGAGCCUUAGGGUUACGGUUGGCUCUGAUGCCAAAUAGAAUUUUACGGCUUAAAUUUUCAUGUAUUGCAUAAUUGAGAAUAUAAUACAUACAAUCCUUGUUCUCUAAGGUAAACCAAAAAAGGACAUAAGAAAUAUCCUUCCUAAUAAAGGACUCUAAUAUUUACACAAUAUUUACAUUCCUAUUCUAAAACCAACUCACACAACAAUAUCUACCUUCUUUGGCUGAAUUUAGGACUGUCGCCUGCUGGGUAAGAUGCUCUUGUAUGAUAUUCGUAUCUAAUAUCUUUUUAUGCUAAUGUCAAGAUACUCAAAUCUGUUUAUCUGCAUGUUAAAGGGUUUGACUGAGCCUGACUAUGGAAGUGAUGCGAGUGCCUUGAGAGCGACAGCGACAGAGGUCAAGGAUUUCAACCUUCUCAUUUGCUUCUAUAUUUCUGUUAAAUGGUAUUAUCAUGCUCUUUUGGUUUUUGGGUGUCAUGGCUCCGAUCAUGCUAUAUCACGUAUGUAAGAUUGUGAAUGACAAUGAAUGUUGUAUUGAAUCAUUUUGUUGUAAGCCACUUGUCUAUCAAGUUGUUAGCCGCCAAAGUGAUCCAAUAGUCCUAACAUAAUAAGGAUUAUGGAGUCUUAUCCCUUGCAAUUAACCUAGAGGAAAUCUGAUAGAUUUUAUUACGAAGAUGUAGAAUCAUGGUGGGACUUAAACACUAAAGAGAUAGGGUCAAUCUUCACAGGCAAUGAUAGGUCGGGUGUGUUAAAAACCCUAACGAUAUAAAUAUCACGGUUAAGUCCCUACUUCCAUACGCUUGUACUCUCAAUCACGCCAAACCCUAUUCAUGGUAGAGAGACAUUUUGAAGUACUGGAAGUAGAAGACAACCUGUGAGCUCAAGCCACCAUGUCUCCAAUCGGUGCAGGUUAGUAUCAUUCAUCUUCUUCUUGUAAUUAUCAUGAUGCAUGUUAAAUUGUGAUCCUAGAACCAUGUUGUAUUAGUCCACCUUACAUGUGGUAUCAGAGCCAAACAACAUGACUAGAAUCCAAUUCAAAUAACUGCAUCGUUAUGGAUAAUUCAAAUCAUCCUAUUUUGCUUCCGUUGUUCUUAUUCUUUCAUGACUUAAUAUAGUUGUAUGUAUGAUGACCGUGUGCUGCGAUGUUAUUCAUCAUAAAGAAGCAUAUAUUAUGGCUAAUAAGUUUGGUGCAGAAACUUUAUAUACGGUGCAGGGUGUAGAUAAUACAAUCUGCAGGAGUUCAAUUGAAAUCCCAGCAUCGUUUGAUAUUGAGUGGAACACCAAUCCAGAAUAACGUCAUGGAUUUGUGGUCCCUUUUGGUUGAAAAUUACACUUUCAGUGAAGCAAUUGAAACGAAAUGUUUUAUUAGUCAAUUAUGAUAUGAUAAAUUUAUGACUGGUUUCUGAUUCAUAUCUGGAGAAGGAGUAAAGAAUUUUCUCCCUGACAUGUUUUCUUGACUGUGUUCUCUUCCGCGAGCUCGACUGUGAUAGCUAAUUUCAAAUUUCUAAGUGAGCCACCAUCCAGUUAUUAUUUAUCGAGCCGUUAUUCAGGUUUUGCUUCCUCGCACAUCAUCAAAACCCAGUUGAGAAUUACUCCCUGCUAGGAGAUAAAUUGGGGUUUGUCUUCUUGCUUCUGCUCAUUUUCCAUAAUACAUUAACUCUGUUGCAAACAAGGAUUGCCGCAUGACUUUAAGCUUAUUGCAUUUUGACUAUAUAUAUUGUCUUAAGACUGCAUGAUUGAAUAAAUCUGGUUGAAGGAGCCUUUUACAAUGGGCCUUUCGUAUUUUAAUUUCAAGUAAUACCAUAUAAUUUGGGUGAGCCAUUGUGAUCCUGAGGAGCUUGAGCUAUAUAUCUAUCCUGUUCACAAGUAAGUUUUCUGGGCCUUCAAUUCCUAAUGCCUAGAAUGAGCUUUCGAUGAUUUUCUCCAAUUACAUUUAAUUUCGUUUAUUCCAGUUUGCUGCAUAAAUUUUGAGUAAUGGAGUACAAGAAUAAUGGUAUGGCCACUUAGGCGUAUUAGUUGAUUGGUUUAACUAAUUUGAAUAUAAAUGCUUGCUAUGUUUUUCACAUUGGUUUUGCAAAUUGACUUUCCCAUACAUGUUAAUUAAGUUGAUGUUUACGCUUCCCUCUAUCGUUAUGCCUGUAAACACCCCUCUUCAGAAAUCAGAAUUUGUUUGAUUUCAGUUCAUGUUUGCAAAGUUUGUCCUUUGUGACCUUCAUCUUCAAACAUAAAAUUGCGUUAGCUGAGACUUUGUUUUUUGAGAAAUUUCUCAAAUACACACAAUUGAGAUUUUGGAGAAUUUCUUCAACGACUUCGUUUGCAAGUAAAUCUUUUGCAUUCUCUUGUUUUGCGAUAAGUACAUGUUUGGUAUGACCUAUGACAAAUUAUGAAUACUUAUGACAUGUUAUGAUUCACGUCAACUGACGCCUUGCUUGCGGUUUAGUGGAUUCAACUUAAGUUUAAUGUGUUUUGCUAUAUUUUGAGUGAGAAAUCAAUAGAAGUAUUUAUAAGUCAAAAAUAGGAUAUGUUGAAAGGCAAGAAACUCACAUGAAAAGGAAAACCAUUCAUGUCACUAACCUGGGCCUGAUAAACAUCCUAUUUUUAUAGAGACUUUCGUAACUCCUAACCUUAUGUAAUUGUUUUCUUGUAGUUCAGAAUAGAUUGUAUAUACUGCAAUUUUUCACGUUUUGGGACAUCAAAUAAAUUUAUAGUAAAGUGUUAAAGGUGAUACCACGCUGCUGGAAUUCUGCAGACUUCAGCAGCAAAGUCUGUUUGUGAUAUUAUUUUGACGUACUUCUGCAACUCCUAAAUUCAUGAAAUUUUAUUAUGAUAUAUAUUAAGAUGUUUAUUUUAAAUCUGGAAAUUUUCACGAGCAGUGGUCUGAAAAUGAAUUAUUGGUGAAGUUUUGGGUGACAAUGAAUUUAUGCGGCUUCUGCAGCACAUUCCAUUUCGAUUUUAUUUUUAGCCCACUUGUAGAAUCGAACAAAUUAUGGAAUUUUGGGUGACAAUAAAUUUAUAUGUCUACUUCAUUUCGGGAAAUUUUCAUGCGCAUUGGAGAAAAAUUGAAUUUUUUGGUGACUUAUUUAGUCUCCGGUAUGUACUGCAGAAUUUUUGUCGUUUCUGCAGCACAUCCCAUUUCAUAUUUUCUUUUAGUACACUUGUAAAGUGUCAAAAAUUAUGAAAUAUUGGGAAUUAACAGAUUUGUAUAAUUACUUAUUGUCUGAAAAGUUUCAUGCAUAUCGGAUGAAAAAUGAAUAUUUGGUGAAUUUUAAUCUUAGGUAUGUACUGCAGAUUUUCUGUAGUUUCUGCAGCACCUCUCUUUUCGAAUUCAUUUUUGGCUCGCUUAUAAAAUUUUAAAAAUCAUGAAAUUUUGCAAAACAGUAGUCAUAUAUGUCUAGUUCAUACCUAAAAAUUUUCAUGACAAUCUAAAGAGAAUUGAGUUUUUAGUGAAUUUGCAAACUACAGUGGUAUUGCUGAAUUUUUGGUACUUCAAAAACUAGUUAUGUUAUGCAAUAUUGUUUUCACUAAUUUGUGCAUAUUCAAUAGUACCAAUUGUUUGACAUGUUUAUUUGCUCUAAUAUGUCCUGGUUUUCAAUGCAAAUUCUCAAUUCUAAUGACUUUUAUUAGUCAACACUGAUUAAAUUUUGGUUGAAAAGUGUAUUGGUUUAUUUUGCACAAACCAAUGUUUUGUUUGGUCAUCAAUUUUAAUUAUGAUGAUCAUUGUCUUUUGAGACAAAAAUUGGAAAGUGGCAUCAGUUUACUAAUUGAUCAUUUUGGUCCCUAUCGAAUAACUGAAUAACCAUGUUUCCUCUUUCGAGAACUCUAUUGUUCAAUGUCAAACAACGACAUACUUUUUGUGUCUGAUUGAAUCUUUUGAGAAUCAUUGAAUAUCCAACAAAACGGUUAUUUAAUACUGCUCUAAAAGAUUAUUUUGAAAAAUCAAAAUUCUAAUUUAUAUGGUAAAUACUUUUUUCCCAAUGGGAAUUUCAGGAAAUCACUCACCAAUUAUAAAUUAGUAUUAUAGCAAAUCAUAAAAUACUUUUAACAUAUGUUCAUCUGGCCAAAGCUGUUGAAGCUAUAUGUAUUUUGUGUAUUUUAUGUUUUGGCUAGCUAUGCAGGUAUUUUCUUUGCAUGAUUAGUUUUUGCCCAAAGGUGUAACAAUCAUGCAAUUUGCUUUUGGUUUGAUCCUCCACAACUCGACUACUUCCAUGAUGAAUCUUGCAGAAUCGAGAAUGAGUAGGUAAAUUUACCAAUCUUUUGUCUUAAUUUUCUCUGAGUUCUAAAUUGGAUUAAAAUUAUUGUUGAAAAAUUGAUGUUAUUGAGAUAUCUAAGUGUUUAUUUUAAUCGACUUUGUUUUAGAAUUAAAACAUAAAUUUUGAGUUUGAAUUCUCAUAUUAGGUUUCAUUUUUAAUUGAUGACCUAAUCUUUCACAAAUAUGUGAGUCUUCUCUCGUACACUAAAAUAAAAUAAAAUUUGUAGUCAUUGCAUAAGUUUUUUAUUUUUUUUAUUUUUUUUAUUUAUGGAACUUUUAAUUCGAACCUAUUAAAAUAUAUAUAUAUAUAUAUAUAUAUAUGUAUUUGAUUUUUAUUGAUUCAAUUAGCCUAUAUUUUGUUAUAUGAAAACCACUUUCUCUGAUGUUUAAUCUUGCAAUUUUGAGUGUUUGCCCAAGUGGGAGAAAGAAUGUAUUAUGGGCUUCACACUCAUCAAUUUUGCAUGCUUUUAAUGGUCAUAGUUUUGGUAGAUAGAACGUACAUUAUCAUACUUGUUUAUAUUUUAUAUAUGCAACUAAUCUUGAAAGAAAUUCUAGAAGGAUUAAUGAGUAUAUUCUGCUUAAAAGUGUUUUGCUUAUUAAUUCUUGUUUGUUGUUCAAGAAAUUGGAGUUGUGAUUUAUAUGUUAGUUUGGAAUAAUUAAUCUACUCAAAAGUGUUUUCUUAUUCAGUACAACUAUAAAUCAAUGUAUAGUGAAACAUGAAAUUGACAAGAUUGUAUAUACUUCAUCUGCUCAAAAGUGUUGAAGCUAUAUAAGUUUACCCUUGUAUUUUAUGUUUUAGCUAUGCAAACCUAACAUAAUUAGUUUCUGUCCAAAGAUGAUUAUGGAAUUAUAUGCUUUUGAUGCGAUAAGAAAACAUUUAGUUAAAGUUUUCUAUUUCUGUCAAAUGUUAGAUGAACAAAACUAACCAAAUGAUUUUGUAUAGUUUUUCAGUCAUAAAAGUCACUUCCUUACAGAUAUCUAGAAUAAAGAUGUUGAGCUCACAAAUUUUAUGUUCUAGAUCCCAUGACUAAUGUUUUUCCAAUGGGAGUAUGUGAAAGGUAUUUGUUUCAUUUUGUAGACAUUUACAAAGUUUUGUUUUACUCUCUUAAUCAGUGGAAGUAAUAAUAAUUUAUCAAUAUAAUUUUGUCUCUGUUAAUCAAUGGGAGUAAGAGAUUACCUUUUGUGUUAAAAAAUUUGAAGUGUUAGUAGCUGAAACUUUAAGAGUAAAUUUUGUUUAAAUUUUGUUCAUCAAGUCCUGAUUUUGUAAACAAUAUGUCGUAUUUUACUUGUUCUCUUAUUAUAUUCUAAAUUCACAGAAAAGUUGGAUUUUGUUGCAAAAGAGUCAGUGAUCUCACGCCUAGAGACCAAGCCAUCACGUUGCAAACGCGAGUAUCUCUGAUCAACAUCAAAGGGGGUUGGCUUGGAAACUGAGAGCUGAGUAUUAUUCAAGGGAUUAUUCUGUAGUGCUGUACCUACUCAAGAUGAUGCCAAAGUGGCCCCUUGAAUAAGUAAUGAAGGUAAUCGUCCAUCAAACCUUUGGAAAGGUGCACUGUACUGCAUGAACAUGAGGAAAUGCUAACAAAUAAGAAUUAUAAAAGGGAAAAUUAGGUUCACAUUCUUCUUUUUGUUACUUCAUUGAUUAAAAUCCUAUUCAUUUUCAAUUUUUGAUCAAGGUCCUUGGGUAUUAAUAACAUCAUUAAUUAUUUGAAUAAUAAAAUAUUUUUAUUUUUAAAUAUAUUCCUUUAAUGUUAAAAAUGUUACAAUUAGUAUAUUUAUAUUUAUAGCUAAAUUUUGUUAUCAUAUAAUUUUAUUUUUAGUUUGUACCUAUUUUUAAUUUGCAAAUAUUUUUUAAUUUGUACCAAUUUUCUUUUCAUUUUUAAUUUGUACCCAUAUAUUAGUUCCUUUUUGUGCCCAUAUUUUUUAAAGUUUUAUUUGUGUUUGUACCCAUGUGUAUACCGUCACGUGACAUUGUAUAUUUAAUCAAUAAUAGAAAAAUUACAUAUGGUAUAUUUAUGUUUUAUGCCUAAACUUUGUAUCAUAUAUUUAUAUUUUCAAUUUGUACCCACUUUUAAUUUGCAACAUUUUUUUUUUAAUUUGUAGUAUUUUCUUUUUAGUUUUAUUUUGUACCCAUGUACUAAUUUCUUUUAGCGCCUAUAUUUUUAAAAAUUCAUUUGUAUUAAUAAAUUUUAAUCUUUUAUUUGUACCCUAAUUUAUUUCUAAUGUACCCAUUCUUCUUUAUUAAUGUACCACUUUGUUAUAUGUGAAAUGUACCAAUUUUUUUGUAAAAUGUACCAAUUUUUUUAACACUAUGGAUACAUUCUUUUGCCAUUUAUUAUUUCUUAUUUUUACAUAUUUUUUAUCCAUUUAUUCAAUUAAAAUGUUUGAAUUUUUUUAUUGUAACCGUUUCUAAUAGUAUUAUAAUGAGGGAUUUUAAAUUUAUAGGAUUAUAAAUCUCAUAAAAUAUCAAAUAAUUAACAAAACUAUAAAAAUAUAAAUAUUAAUAGUAAUAUAAUGAGGUGUACAAAGUCAAGGGACCUUGAUCAAACUUUGAAUAAUAUUAAGGUUUUAAUCAAAGAAUGUUAAGGAUUAGGGACCGCAUCCAAAAUAUCCCAUUAUAAAAACUAAAGUGAAUCAAACCCAUGGAUCUUAUGGGGAUUACCUUCAUAAAAGCUUAAGCAUUUUGGAAAGAAAAUUUUCAUUUAAAAAUAAAUUUUAACGUCUUUCUAUUCAAGUAUGUUGGCCCAAAAUUAAAAGUGAUAGAUGCUUUCAAACAGUUUACUUUGUACGCAUCAUUAACAUUACAAUUUUUUAGAAGUAAUGUAGAUGGAUUUGUUUAGUUGCAUCAGGCUCCUUAGUUUCCAACUGACAUGCCAAUUUAUGAUUCACUGCCCUUUCUUUUCAGACAAUAAAUCUAAAACAUUGAUAUAACCAAAUGCAUCCGAUAAAAAAAAACUACGUAAAUUUCCUAGGAGAGUUCCUGAACAGAAGAACCGAGAGAGUAUUGAGUUGAUCAUGGCUUUUAUACCUACCCCAGUGAAUAGCUGCUGGAAGAAGUAUCUCAGGAAUAAGCAAUAUUAUAAUGGAUUGCUCCGAAGCACAUAUUCUUCGAAUUCCUCACCGCAAGGACAGCAGCAAAGAGCACCCAUCUCUACAUUUCCACCAAUAUAUACAAAAAUGUCAAAAUUUGAGUUUCUGAAGACAAAUCACACUUAAAACGGGCUCACCAUCUCUUAUUACUUAUUCGCAGUGUAUAGUAAGAUCCAGUAUCACAUUCAUACACAAUAGUAUCUUGUACUAAAGCUCUUUCAAGUUUCACUCCAAAACCUCAAGUUACAGCUAUAAAUUAUAAUGACAUUCAUACAUGAUAAUAUUUAGUGCUAAAGCUUUUUCGAGUUUCACUCCAAAACUCAAGUUACAGCUUUGUAUUAUAAUGUUUCCCCUAGACAAUGAUCAUUCACAUUCAACAAAAGCAUUCCAACUGCUUCAUUGAUAAAGAUUCAUCAGCUAUUUAACUCUACAAAUAAGAUAAACAUAGAAAAUUUAAAAAGAAACAGGCACACCAGCAUAUAUUUUAAAACAAACAAAACCAAGUCGCAGACAAACUUGAUUUCUCAUCCAGCGAUCAAAAUCAAACCACAUCUAUAAACCAUGAAAUAGUAAAUAUGGAUAUAAAAUGUGAUCGUCAUCUAAAACUCGAUAAAUUAAUUGUCAACAUAAAAAAUUACCUCACAUCUUCACUUCCCUUCUAAUUUGGCAUCGGCGGGUUGACUUCUAGGUUAACGAAGUCCUGAAAACAGAAUAACGAAAAACGUUUACCGGUCCAACAUUUCAACAUGUGGUUUUGGUAAGUAUAACAUUUCAACAUAAACGUGAUAUAGAAGACAGAAAUCCACAUGUCAUUUCGUUUUUUCAGAACCAACAAAAAGGCCAAAUAUAAGAGAAUUGAACCAAUUUAAAACAGUAAAUCAGUCUCCCAAUAAAAGAGAACAUAAGCAUGAUAUACAAAGAUCGAAAGGCACUUUUAAUUUGGUUUCCUCAAAAGCAACGAAAAUAAUGCUAAAUCAAAUUGAAUUGAACAGAGUGGAAAUGGGAUAGAUGAAGAUUUGAAAUUGCUUACAUCUCUAUCAUAUCCCGCAUUUCCCUUACAAAAUAAACAAUUAUGAAUACAGUACAUUAAAAUCAACACAGCAAAUAAAAACCCUAUUUUUUAAUAUGCUGAACAAUUACGAAUACAGAAAACCAUACAAAACAGUUCCUAAUUACAAACUUAAUACAUACAAUGGCCUAAAAAAAAAGGCAAAAUCUAAUAAAUUUCAUCCAAAUUCAAUAUUAUACAUCAAAGACACAAUCUUUCGAUAUCCUAAACCAAAAUUAUCAUACAAAAAACCAUAAAUUUUCCGAAUUCACAAGCAGCAAGUCAAUCUCUCAAUUCCUAAACAAAGUCUCAUAAUUCUAGAAUCCCAAUUGUAAUUGUCGAUAAUUUUAUAAAGAAAAUCAAGAAAUUAUACCUUCCAUCUACUAACGUACUACUCCUCCUUCUCCAUAAAGAAAGCAUUGAACUUUUCCAAAUUUUCUCCAGCAACUUCACGAAAUUGGUGACGUCCUUGGAAACCUCACCAGCUUCGCCGACUUUGCAUACUAAAUCUCUGUCGUCGGCCAAUAUGGGCUGUUGUUUAGUAGAGAGAUUAGUUUGAUUAAGAAUUAAUUCACCUAUUAUUGAUUAAGAAUUAAUCCCAACCAUGCCAGCUCUCCACUCUCAAUUCACUUACUAUUGAUUAAGAAUUAAUUCCUAAAAUUUAUUAACAAAACCCAUUACUCAAAAAUCCAAACUUCAUAAGGAAAAAAAAGUAAAUACUGGUAAAGCUCAAUUCAAAAAUGAAUAAGAAAUUGAAACUGAGAAGAAACACAGUAGGGAGCACCUUAUCGUCUUCAAAACCACCUUAUUCGGUAUUUCCUUGUUGAUGAUCUUGUCAAAUGUACAAAAACAAAAAUACAAAUUCAAUUAAUCAAACAGCUUACAAUAUUUCUGAAUAAAAAAGUGAUGGAAAAUAUACUGUUGGCCGAACAUGCGCCGUCUUCAAAAGCAGAAGAACUUGAGAUUCAAUUUGGGUGGAAAUGGGCACUGCUGGAAGGGAAAAGAACAUUAAUAAACCAAUACUAUUUCAACUAAACCUAUACCCCAACCAAGCAAAAUCAAAUGCACACUAAUCACAUCUAUAACUAUAGAAAUAGGGAACCAAACAGAUAUAACAAAUGUAAUAUCAUUGGUUCAAAAAUAUUAAAGGAACUAUAGGUCGUAGUGUGUAGCAUGCAAAAGUGCUACUACUCUGAAUUUCCAACAUGCUCAACAGAUCUCUAACUUUCCAGAAUUAUUUAAAUUGAAACUAAGAGAUCAUUCUUUCGCAUAAUGAUUAUUUGAGAUUCGCUACAAAAACGAAUCCAUAACUUACUUAGGUUUCAAAAUGCACUAUAACAUCCAUUAAUCUAAACAGAAUUGCUUGAGCAAAGCAAACAAUUCAAUCUCAUUCCUCCAUAAAUGACCUUGUUUUAUUACUUCAUGGGGCUAAUUUCUUCCGAAAGAUUCACAGCCAAUGGUUUCCAACAUUAAAAUAUUACAACAUGUUGAACACAUUAAACAAACAGUUUUUCCAAUGACUAAACAGUUUUAUUAAACGGCAAAUAAGAUUAUUUUCUUGUCACAUAAAUAGCGUUUACAAUGUAUCAAAGCAAGUGGUAGUUACUAAAAUGAAUACAUUAACAUACUCUUAUGGCAUAAAAUCUAAUAACCUAAAUAAUAGUGUUUCAAUUGAUAUCAACAAUCAGAAACAACACAAUUGCAAACAUAAAGUUAGGUGAUUUCAUGGUUAAAACCCAUGUAGACCACCUAGACAUAAAGAAAUAAAAAAUACAUGAAAAUUAGGGACUAACUUGAGCUUGGAGUCCACAUAAUGCUUUUAAGAGUAGCAAAUGUUCUUUUGGACUGAGUUCUGUUGGAUUGAGUUCCUUGUAAUGGGAUAUCUCCUCUCUGCACAAACAGCAAAAUGGUAAAAAUGGUUAGUCUAUUUAAAGAACAAAACCAAAUUAAAUACAGUGAAUGACGCUAAGAUGAAUAAAACUGAAACCCUGGACAACAAAUUGAAUGCUGGGAAGAAAGGAAAAAACAUGCAUGAAUAAAAUAUCUAAUUUUUCAACCACCCUUAAUUUAUAAUUAAGCUAAGCAAAUCACAGCAAGCACAACACAAUCACAACAAUAAGAACUUUCAAAUAACAUAACAUUUAUCAACUACUCAGCACAUGAUUUUCAAAAAUGGAUAACUAACCUGUAAUUUAGAAACUUAUGUCGUUCACUCGCUUACUGAUUAAGUCUCUUAAGUUUGGGAAAAGUAUUCCAUGAGCUGCAAAACACAGUGAAACAAAGAUCAAACAAAGACAAAAAGAAGUAGUUAAAUGAAUCAUAAUUUUGCCAAAAUUUAUGGCCAUAUGGUACAAUGGGGGAUUGUGACAGGCCAUGGAUAUUGAUGUUGACCUCAAACCUCACAAAUCAUAUAUAAUUCCUUAAGAACCAUAUGUAAUUUAUCAACAACAAACAGCUAAAAGCCAGCCCUGCAACUAAUUAUCUCACAAAUAAUGAUUGUAUGCAUAUCUAAGACAAAACUGAACCAGAUUCAAAGAAUUAUUCGGAGAGUUCUUUCAUAGCCUUCAUACGGUCAUCAAUUAAGUUUUGCAAAAUUAUGUCUCAUACAUUUUAGCAAUGAAAGAAACACAUAUAGCACUCAUACUCUGAACAAAAAAUAAUCUUUAAUUUCUUCUAAUAAUGUUCUUGAGGGAGAGAAUGAAACUGGAAAUUUAUAUUUUGGAGACUUUAGUGCACACAUACAUACCAACAUGUGCAAGGAAAGCAGUCUGAAUUUGAAUUGCACCUAUAUCCUCAAUUGGCAAUCCAAGAUUUUACCAUCUGUAAAAUUAGACUUUAUCAAAUUUAUGGAGUUUAAUGUUCCAUGAGCUGAAAUCCCCGUCAAAACAUGUAAUGAGGGGCGAGGAAUUACAAUUUCACACCAACAUGAGUCCUGAAAUGUUACAUAUAUAAAUCCUGAGUUCAAGGAACCCAAAAGCUGAAUUCGUAGCUUACAAAAAGAUGCAAACUUUUGCUAUACUAUUAAAAACCAGGCUCGUGACCCAUAAUCUCUAAGCAGCCAAAGAAGAAAAAAACAAAAAGCUAAGAUAUUGAAGUAUAAUUCUCAUAAGCACUGAAAAUUUGAAAAAGAACCAAACAAAAAAUGCACCUAAAAACAAGUUAUGAAGAUUGAGAGAGCAAAGAGGAAAUGUAAACAAAAAAUGCAUGUAAACAUUUUCUAAUUGUUUUUAAUUUCUAAAAACAAUUUCUAAAAACAAUUAGAAAUGUUUACAUACAUGUGAUAGGAGCAUAUUUAUGCGACUUAGUUAGCUUGUUCUUGUGCAUUUACGUUGUAUUUCCUUAGUUAUUUUAGUGUUUAAAGUUAUUUUUGUGUGUUUUCAGACUCUAAGUACAAAGUAUGCAAGAAGAUGCAUUUUGGAGGCCUUUGGAGCAUGUUUCGGGCUUGGAAUGGAUAGCAAAUGCAUGGGCAAAGUGGAUGGACGAAUUUGAGAACUAAAGAGGCCAAGAAUAUGAAGAAUUAUGGUCCAAAAGAUGAAGAAAACAGCCCAAAAAUCUGUCACCCCAACUUGCAUUCCUUGCCAUGCAAACCACAUAGAAUUCCCUUUGGAUUCCAUGCCAUGCUUGAUCACUCUUGUCCCCUACAUAAUUUCUAAUUUCAUGCUUCAAUUCAUUUAAUUAUUACACUCAAUUGCUUGAUACCUCUUGUUCCCUUCACUCAUUAGAUUUUAGACAACAUUUACAUCCAUUACAUGCACCAAUUGAUGCUCCAUCAUUCACAUUUGGAAUCCAAUGCCAUGUGCAACACAUGUUGUUGCACCUUUGACCCAUUUGUUGACACAUUUCACCUCCCUUUCCAUCUCUAUGCAAUGUACACAAUCAUUCAUGCUCCCUAGCUACAACACCACUCCAUUUUACCCUUCACACUUUGCAUCAUUACUUCAUGUUCACCCUUGGACCAUUGCACACCACACACACAAAUUGCCAUGCAUUUCAUCCUUAACCUAACCUGAUUUUCUAAGGUUUUUGGGGCCUAUAAAUACAUGUUUACACCCCUUGGCCAAAGGACAAUCCCCCAUAUUCAUCAUUUUAUCACAAAAAUUCGUCCAUACACACCCUAGGAAGCAAAACACCCCAAAAACACCAUUCUAGUGCCUAGAAAACAUAACAGCCACUCCACCUUCUUCCACCCUCUUUGCCUAGUUCUCCACCACCCUCCAACCAUCAAACACUCCUCCACACUCACCCUAAACCCUUCCAUACCAUUCCCCAUCCAUUCUACAUCAUAAAACUACCCAAAAUCUGUCCAUAACCCAAUCUGCCGCAAGCAAGGGAAAGGAGGAAUCUUGGAUGCACUUGCUACCAAGUUGGAGCAUUUUAGGUGUUUUCUUUCCUUUGAUUUUAAUGUCUAAUUUUAUGUAUCUUUGCUUUGUGAGUAUGAGGAACUAAACCCCUCUUAGUUAGGGGGUGAUUCGAAACUAUGUUCAUACUUGCAAUAUGAUUUGAUUACAUCCAGUUGUGAUUCAUAAGUUGUGAAUUCAAUUUACUUAUCCGUUCAUAUAAAAACUAAUUUGUGUAUGUUGGUUAAGAGUGCACGCUUAAUUUUCAUGCAUGAAUUUGACGCUAGAAUAUAAGGGAGUUUCACCUAAUCGUUAUAAACUUAUAUUCACAAGUAGUGAAGGUUGCUAGUCACAAUCACGUUAAGUAAACUCUUGGCAUAAGUUUCAUGCAAAUCAUAGUAACGAGUGCCUCGUCAAUGCUUAUGUUUUUCAUAGAACUUAAUGAUUCUUGCUUGUAUCUCUAUUAUGCAAUUCAUGUAGGGAACUUGUAGGGAAUGUUUUGGGUUGUCGUAUGCAAUCAUCCAACCUAAUAACUUGUGGAAAAAACUGAGGGUUAAUUAGUGCAAUUCACGGUUAAUUUGGGGCGUUGAGUAUUCAUAGCUUAUCGAAAAGCAACUGGAAAUCGUUUUGUAUGCAAGUGUGACAUAUGUGGAGAAGAACCUCCUAGCUAAUCUUCCAUCCAUAAGUUUCAUUCAAAUUCACUUACAAUCUGUUUUGUUUUACAAAAGUUUGUUUUUGUUUUCAAAUUCAUCAAAACCAAAAUCCCCCUUUUACUUUAUUGUUUCAAAGUGUUUAAUUUCUGUUUUGGUUGUGUGUUAGAGUGUUUUUGAUUCACCCAAAUUUGUCUAAGAAUUUGUUUACUUUGUUCUUGUCUUAAUUUAAUUAUUUUCGUCGAAAAUCAACCCCAUCUUAUUUCUUUGAGUCAUAUUAAUUAGAACUUGUCUUAGAUUAUGUUUUUAAGUGUUUUAGUUCAUUAGAAAACCAAAAUUUGUCCAAGUUUGUGUGAGAGUCCCAAAAUUGCCCAGAUUGUGUUUUUAAGGUAGUUUUGAGUGUUUAGGGGCUGUUUUGAGUCUUUUGGUUUGUUUUAGUGUUUUAAAGUAUAGUUUUGCAUUCUUUGAGUCUAGUUAGUGUUUUAAACUUUGUUUUCACGUUUUCAAGUCAGUUUCCAAGUGAUUUAGCAAUCCCUCAUAAUCCCCGGCCUAGAACGAUCCCUACUUACAUACUUUACUACAAUUGAUAAAAAGAGGGUUUAAUUUGUGUGUUUAGUUAUUUUACGCAUCAACAUGCAUGUAGCCUGUUCAAUUAGAUUCAUUUUAAAUAAGAACCAAACAAAAAAUGCGCCUAAAAACAAGUUAUGAAGAUUGAGAGAGCAGAGAGGAAAUGAAAUAGACCUCUAAUAGUAGUACUGCAGUUUGUAGAAGGUGCCCAGUCCUUAGUCUCUUCAAUUAGAUUAAUUUUAAAUAGGACCCGCUGCUGCUAUUUUUUCGACGUGGGACAAUCAGGUCCUAACGUUUCCCCAAUAGAAAACUCUAAAAUAUGAUUAUAUGUCAGAAUUCACAAACAAAGUCAGAGGAAACAUGAUGAUUAUUGAGCUAGUAUUGAAUAAUGGGUAUAAAAUUGAAACUUUUGGAUGGUCAGCGUUGUUUCCAGAUGAAAUUAAGCAUCCCAAAUAACCAAAACAAAUCAACUUAACAUAAAAGUAUGUAUUACCCACCUCAAAUCGGCCGGAGAACUCAUAUUGGAAUUUCUACCUUCCAAUUUUUCCGUAACCUUUUCCAUCUCAGAAUUUCUGAACAGGACAUGGAUUCUAUAACAUUAGAUAAAAUUAUCUAUACUACACAUAUGCAGAUCAAUUCCAGAUAAAUUAAGAUCAAAUCAAGGUAUGGAAUAUAUCAAUUUUGGGUUGGAAAAUCACCUUGAAAUUUCAGUGGACAGAGCCAGUGGCAGUCUUGCAAAUAAACUGAAAUGUCUUACAAAACACUGUUCAUAUGAAUAGUGUAAUUUCCCUUCCUACUUUAGACUAAAGUAAUACCACUUUGGCGAGAAAACCAGUCAAACUUCCCUCUGUCCAAAUCGCGAUUUCUCAUCGUAAUACUGCUGGUAAUGGAAGAGAACCCGAGACACCAAAUCUCGGAGGUCUUCAUCUCGGGCCUCGUCGAUCGUCUGCUGCUGGGCCGAUAAGAGCUCAUCGAGGAAGUGUUCUUACCGGACCGGCCAGCCCUCGUAGAAUGCCUCAAAUGUGUUCGAUGCAUUGCCGCUGUGAGAGCCGUUUGUCAUAACCAAAACAAAAACAGCAAAGCUUUCUGGGGCUUUAAUGGCAACGAAAAACAGAAAGGUGGGUGGGAUUAAAUAGGAGGUGGGAUUCGAAAGGUGGGGGAUUUCUUUUGGGAUUUUGGUUUUUGAUUUGCUUCGUGGGCAAGUAAUGCUAAUGGGUGAGGAUACUGCGAGAGCAAGGUUCAUGAAUUUUGUUUUUUCAGAGAGAGAGAGAGAGGAAACCAGAGGAGGUGAGGCUCAGACGGAGAGGUGUGUGCAGGUAGCCAUUAGAGAGGGAACCGCCCGGGGGGGGGUUUGGUUUGGGGCUGCCCGGAUGAUGGGGCAACACGUCUCGAGGCUGCCAAGUGGAGGGAUUGCGUGAAGCCAAGUCAUCGUUUUUGGGUUUUUUUGGAUGGGUGGGUGGGGGAGUUUAAACCCUCAGGGGGAGGGAUGUCUUUCUAAAGAGAUAGGAAUUUAUCGUAUAUUGUACAGUUAAAUUUUGUCAUGAUAUACGAUAAACUGAUAAACUGAUGUGAUUGGAGGAUUAUCGAGAUCCUCUCUAAAUAGGCAAUGUUUGCACUGGUGCAAGUUGGGGAAGUUGUUAAACGGCAAAGUACAAAAGAAGUCUGAAGAAGGGAUGUUUUAGUUGUCAGUUGCGGUUCGGUUUGAACUGGACUAUUUUGAUACGAUGGAACUCUUUUUUCAAUUGUACAUUAGGGCACGCUUACUUACUUUUCGGAUGUGAGUUAACAAUGGAUUUCAUUACCUUUUUAUUCCUUGCAUUUUAGUAAACGCAUGAUUUCAGGAGUGAAAAUUAUACUCAUACUUUCCAUUCUCGUUCUUAGUAAGUAAACAGACCACUAUUGAGUUGGAUAGCGGUUAACCAUAUUGUUCUUCCAUAUAAUAGUAUACAAUUUACUUGAGGUAGCAUUUCCGUUGCAUGAAAGACUCAUAUAAAGGGGAUAAUCUAUUCUAAGGGAGGGGGCUAAAACGACUUUUUGGAUACAACAUUAUUCUGCAUUUAAGUGGCUAGUUUAGGUCACACAAUGGGUCAACCACUUACUAGAUAUUAAACUCAACACAAAAAAUAACACGUUCUUGCUAUUAAUGUAAAUCAAACUCAGAACCUCAAACUUACAAAUGAAGAACAAUACCUAGUUAGACUAAGUUGAACUUGAUCUCAAUUUGUUUCCCAGUCCUAGUCACUAAACCAGUCACUAGCGUGUAUGAUGAUGGGAGAAAAUAAUAAAGUAGGGUGCAGGUGCAACUCCAAGCGGUUGCUGAUUGCAGUGCAGUUGAAGGGUAAGUGACAAAUUUGCCUUAACUUUUAGUGAUGAGAGAAAUUGGUUGUUGUGGAGCAAAAAAUAAUCAUAAGGCAAUAUGUGGAUCUUUGGGUUAAAAUGACAGAAUUACCCUCGAGACAUACCGGGAUGCCUACGUGCGAGAAGCAGGCAAUCAACCCUCAACCAAGUCAAAUGUACACAAAAUAGGUAAUAAUUCAAAACCUUUUCAUUCAUCCUUAUCAAAUCCUCUCCACAGUAACUUCCAAAUCAUUCCCCAUUUAUUAUAUUAAUUAGCUAAUCAAUUAAGAAAUUAUUCUAUUAAUUAGCUAAUUAAUUAAUUUAUUGUUCAAUUAUUCCCAAUUAAACACAAAUCAAGAACCUAGCCCACAAAAUGAACCAAGUGGCCGGUCAUUUCUCUCCCAAAGGGGCCGGCUACACCCCUAUAAAAACCCCAUCAUUCUCUCCAAAACGAGACUCCCAAGACUUUUGCUAAAAUUCUCUAAAAUUCCCAAACACUUUCUCUCUAAGUUCUAACUUUGGCAUUGGAGGUUAUUCGGCCAAAGCACCCCCCAUUCAUCAUGGGCGCAUAAGGCUCUUGGUCUUGACCUAAGGUGUUAUUUAUUUUGUAGGUGCAAUUUUGUCUAAGAACAAGGAGGAAGAAAUUUUCAUCCACAUCUGCCAUGAGAAAUGUUCAGUAGACAAGCUGCUUCACUGCUUGAAUUGAGAAAAUUGGUUCAUAACGUGUCCAAUUGCUGCAAGUGAUCAUCUUUUAAGAGAUCCUGGUGUUGCCAAUUGGCAUUUUUGACCAGCCAAUGAUGGUUGUGGUGGCUUCUAUGUGGCACAAAGAUAAAAAAAAAACUCAUUUAGAGGUGCAUUUCAAAUAACUAAAACCGUUUUUAGUGAAUUGGUUUUUUAACCAAAAUGGUCCCCAAUAUUUAAAAUCAAUAAAAGUAAUUCAUGUGAUUGUCAACCGGCAAUUAUGGUUUUCUGUGCAAAAUAUCAAGGAAAUUGAAGAAAUCAAUAGUUCAAGUGGAGGGGUUCGUUUAACAAAAUUACCCUCAGUUUAACGGAGAUUUUUUACGAAAUGACCAUAAUGAUUGACGAUGAGCAAUUUUAUAGACAAUUUCUAUCGAUUAUAAAUCACAGGAACCAAAGUGAGGAGUCAUGGUAUUCUCAGAGACCGUUUUAACUAAAAAACCAAACAUUUUAUCUAAAAGCGCUUUCAAUCGUUUUAAAACGAAUUUGGUUCUUCUUAUCAACUCAACAACUCAACAAGUCUCAAUUCUUUUAUGCAUGAAGUUGGAAAUCCAAUGAGGUUUGAACUUGUGUGGCGACCAACAAUAAAACUAUUUGUUAAUUAUUUAUCCUCGUUAGUAAAUUUGUGUUCUUCUCUUUGUCGUACAUGUCAGAAUGAUUCGUUGAAAUAUACAUUUAACAACUCUAAUGUACUAAAAAUGUAUUAUGCACAUACGUACAUAUUGAAAUACAUGUUUUCCAAUAAUCUCGCUCACGCAAAUGAUCUAAGUUCUUAAGAAGAGAAGUGAAUAAUAUUUUUGUAAAUUCACACUUAUAUGACUCUUCACAUUCCAUAGAGCUUGAUCGAAAUCUGAAUGGCUGGAUCAUCUAACAAAGGUUUUCAUUUGUAGACCAUAAGUUUUGAAUCGCAUAGUAAUGGGAUCUGUUCUUUUGACUACCCUAAUCUCAGGGGAACGCUACCUAGCCAAAAUCAAUAAGCGGGGUGUAUUCAAUUGAGAUUUUGAAAGAUUUUAAAGAGUAUAGCGUUGACUUACUGAGCAAUCUUUAGCAUGGAGUCCCCAAUUCAUACAUCCAUUUCACAAUUUCGGUAGAAGAUAAAAAGGUAAUGCCGAGUUCAUCUACUGAAUCUUAAAUCACAUAUGAAAUUGGAUUAACAAAGCUCCAAGAACACCGAGGAGUUCAAACAUCCAUAGAUGCAUGCCACAUACAAAGAUUACGAGUUAGAAUUAUGGAAGUCAUUAAUUCCUUAACUAGACUAGCCACAGAAUGAGAGUAGGUUGGAAACACAUCGAACGAGAAAGUACAACAGUCAAACAUACAAGCAGUAAAAGGCAAGUUUCCUAAGAAAAAUACCUGAUUGUAAUAUUGGCUAAGCCUCAAUGAUGAACAAAACAAAAUGAUUUCCCGAAGCUAAGCAAAACAUGACCUGCUAAUUAUCAUCUUUUCUUGAAACCAUACUUUUUGCGUUCAUAGAACAGAUCUGUUUUGGCACUUCCCAGAUUCACAAUUUUCGGGCAGCCAUCUCUAUCUUUCUCCUGCUGAGUACACUCUUUGCAGUAAUAAGCAUCAGAAAUUCCAACCCCUCCACAAAUAACACACCUUCCCUGGAAAGAUCCAUAGUUGCACUCAUCGCAAACCCGAACAAGCGUGCAAGGGCGCACAUAAGAGUCACAAAUUACACACUUACCGUCGCACUUUUCACACAACCUUCCAAUAGCUAUUCCAGGUUGCUUCCGACACAUAAUCAAGUCAGGAUGAUGCUUCGCCAUGUUCCUGCAACAAC
Molecule: long non-coding RNA, 45153 nt
Filed under: Malus domestica (apple)
Lineage: Eukaryota; Viridiplantae; Streptophyta; Magnoliopsida; Rosales; Rosaceae
Description: long non-coding RNA (MDOM_LNC017912)
Source: RNAcentral